UGUUGGGACUGUUACUACUACCCCAUAUCAAUUUUGAUAACUCGUAUCCCUUCUGUUCAUGGCUCUUUGAGAAGCUUCUGUCUUUGCCAUCCUUCUCUCUACUUGCGUUAUUCACAUACUUCUUCUUCAACCUCCUGACUUUAUCCACCAACUGAGCUCUACUAACGUCAACAUGCAAUGACUUUUUGAUGAACUCAUGAAACGCACCCAUAUCAGCAACGGGAUUCUCACCGUUUUUCUCAGUUUUGUAAUCAAUCAUACCUUUCAGUAUAACAAUCUCAUCAUCCUCACUCCACAGCCUCUGAAACAGCUGCUUCUUCGAGUCGUCAUCGGUUGUCGUCGUGCUCUUCUUAGCUUUCUUCGUAUCUUUCUCAACCACCGGAGGAGGUGCUGGUCGCUUAGCCUUCGCCGGAGAUGGAACUGAGCUAGCUUUCGAUCCGGAUUUUUUGGCUGAUUUCGAUUCGACGUUCGCUACGUCCUCUCGCUCCAUAGGUUUCGAGGAGAUAGGUUUGAUGUUGGGAUCAGCGACCAUGGAUUUUUUGGGUUGCGAAUCGGAAUCGGUAUCAGAACCUGAUUCCUCCGUUUCAGAUGAAGAUAGAUCUGGUGGUUGUGGUUUGGUGGCGAGUUGACGAGGUGGAAUUAAUGGUUUCUUUGGCUCCUGUUUCUGUUUCGGUUCGGAAUCUGAAUCGGAGGCUUCUUCUGAUCCUGAGUCGGAUGUUUGUUCAUCUUCUGAACCAGAGACUUCUUCCUCCUCCUCUUCUUCUUCUUCGUCGUCCGAUGAAGAUGGAUGGUUAGGUUUGAGGUCAGAUUGCCGAUUGUGCGCCAUUAUUUUGAGAGAUUGCUGGUUUCCAAUUUAGGGUUUGUAAAGCGACAGGAGGAAGAAAAGGGGUGCCAGCUGCUCUAUCGAUGUGUAGUCCCUCACGCUUCUAUAGUUCUAUGUACGGCAUGCGGGGAUACGAGUUAACUUCUUAUUUUUGAUAAAAAGAAGUUUGUUAGAUGAGAUACACAUUCUCACCUAUAGUAUCACUAGAAGUUUUAGGUUUUUGGGACACAAAAAAAUAAUUUUAUUUAAAAAGUAUUUUUUUUUAAAAUAAAAAACAUAUAACUUUUCAAUAUUCGUUUUAGAAGAUUUUAAAAAACUAUAUCUAAAAAUACUAUGGAAAAUAAUUCAGGAUGAUUAUGAACUUUUGAUUUUGUUCAUGUUUAGUUUUUUUUUACACCAUAUAUUAUUCAAUUUGUUAAAGUUGUUUAUAUUUUAUCCUUGCAAUCGGUUGUCGUAGGGUAUAAGAAUAAUAUGUGUAUAGUUUCAACAAGUUAAAUGAUAUAUAAUGUAGAACAAAAAAAAGAUGACUAAAUAUAAACAAAAUCAAAAAUUCUUUUGAUAACCAAUAUUUAUAUGAGAAUUUGAGAAAAAAAAAUUCAACUAAGAUAUUUCAAAACUUAUACCAUGAAACCACCCUUAGCAUCUGGUAGUAAACUACUAAGAGGGGGAGGAAGGGUCAUUUUCUUAGUGUUAGACUAUGUUUAUUGAUUUAUUCAGUUUUGUUUAAUGUUUUUUACUUCAAAAAUAGAGAAAACUACUCAGAUGGUCCCUGUGAUUUGGGGUUACUUUCAUGCUUUGUCAAUAACUUAAUUUUUAAACUCGGACUAUCCAAACAUUUGACAUUUGUUACCCAUCUGGUCCCUAACUUAACAUUUCGUCCAUUACUCAGUUAGAAUACCCCACGUUUCGUCUAUUCAUUAAGACAGUUCCUAGCGUCGUUUAGAAUGAAAAACGUCUACACAAUCACAAGUUAUUCGAACAAAUAAGAAAACCCAUAAAAUCACCAUCCCAAUAAAAACCGUAAUUGAUGUUAAGACCCUACUGUGGCAUUGAAGAACAAGCAUGGCAAGUUGGAGGAUACAUGCAAACAUGGAAGAAAUUGAUGUUCAUUCUAGAUACGGUAUGUUUUAAAAACCAAGAUUUUGGAAUUUGUAAUCUUUCCAUUCUUUUCACAUAGAAGGUUAAUGUCAAUCUUCUCAUUUUAAAUUAGUUGGGCAUCCGACUGUAUUUUCCAUAAGGUUACAUCAUAAUGGAAAAUUUACUGGUUUUCCAGAAAGAAAGUAUAUCUGGGGAAAACGAAAUUAUGUUGACUUACUUGAUGUUGACACAUUUUCGGUGCAUGACAUCGACGAUAUAAUGGAAAAACUAGGGUAUGUUUAACCCCACAUGGUGACGGAGAAGAUGUACUAUCAUUUUCAAAGACCUUUAUGUAAUUUAGAUUUUGAUCUUUUUUGCUUUGGGUUCUGAUGAUGGUGUUCGCUAUUUUGGCUCGAUAUGUUGGUCAACAUAAGCUGAUAGAUGUGUACACGGAGCAUGGUGAAACCAAACUGCAUACAUACUCAAUGUCCCCCAAUCCAUGUAAGGUGCAUAUAAUUGAAAUUAAGCAACAUCUUACUUGCUAUAAACGAUUGUUUUUGAAUUGGCAUGAUACUAUUGAACCCCAAGUGGCACUUGGGCAAGAUAGUACCACAAACCAAACUAAUGAAUUUGAUCAUGACAGUUUUACAGGUAAUGUGGACAUGGAAAAUAUAAGUAAUCAUGAUAGUUUUGGAACCAAUAUGGACAUGGAAAGUGAACAUGAUACCAGCAGUAAUGAUGAGUGUUAUCUUGUGGACGAAGAUAAUAUGAUACAUGAUGUAGAUGUUGAUAUGCAUGAUUUCCACAUGAACAUUGACCAUAAUGUUCAAUGGGUUGGAGGUGCAACUACAACAACCACACCUGAGUCUUCGUCAGAUGAAGGAAAUAUGAAACAUCCCAAAAAUACAGUCUAAAAAUUUCGUUUUAAAUCAUUAAGAAAACCAUAAGUUAUCAAACAUCAUAUAAAAAUCAUAAGUCAUGUAUCUCAAUAUAUCAUAACAUCUAUCAAAAUACUUCAGAGUAUAUACAUCCCAUGCUAACAAUGGUGUGUGCACUGCAAUCAUCCUGAGCUCUUCCCCUUGCUACUGGAAGUACCUGAAACCAAAACUGAAAACUAUAAGCAUGAAGCUUAAUGAGUCUUCCCAAACUACCACAUACCAUACACAUAAUCACAUAAUAACAUACAUUGGGCCUUUCCCACUACAUCGGGGCCCGCCCCACAUCAGACGAAUCCAACAUUGGGCCCUGUCCGACAUCGAACUGAAGUCCAGCAUCGGGCCUCGCCUGAUAUUAGACCGAAGUCAGGUAUACAUAUAACAUAUCAACAAGCAUAUAACAUAAACACACAACAUAAACAUAUAAACAUUCCUCGGGCUUGCCCUGACAUCGGCCCAAAGCCCGGAACAUAUAAACAUAACAUAUAAGUUAAACAUUCCUCGGGCUUGCCCCAACAUCGGACCGAAGCCCGGAACAUAUACACCUAACAUGUAAGUUAAACAUUCCUCGGGCUUGCCCCGACAUCAGACCGUAUCCCGAAACACAUAAACAAACACAUGCAAGAAUAACGAAGACAUCAAGCAUACAAACAUCCCUCGGGCUUUCCCCGGCAUCGAACCGAAGUCCAGAAACAUAUAACCUACAUCGAGCUAACCCCGGUAUCAAACUGAAGUCCGGCAUAUGCUAACAUACAUAAACGGGCCAGCAUUGGUGCCUUCGACCCGUUCCUACUGGAGGAAAACUCACCUCACACUGUUGAAGCCCCGCGAAUAAAUCUCUUACUACUGACUGACAGAUUCUCGAACUGUCAAUAUCAAAACAAAACUCAAUUAACCAUUUGGGUUUCAAUGCAUAACCGUAAACCCACACUUGGGGUAAAAUGACCAUUUUACCCCUAACCUAGCUUGGUCCAAGACCAAGGCCCAAACUCAUUCUCUGAAGGCCUAAAAGUCAAAAAAUGAACUAAAGCCCAACAUACGGCCCAAUUUUCUAAAUUAGGACCAAACCUCUACAUAGUCCUAACUUAAGACCCGACCAUUUGUUCUAGUCCAAACAUUUGGCAUUCUGAUGGUCUAAUAUCCCAUAAUCAUCAAACCCCAUUUAUGGCCCAUCUAUGGCUCAAUUUUUCAAAUUAGGCCCAAACCUUUCCAAUGGCCCUUAUCCUUAAGCCCAAUCCAAAUGUUCUAGUCCAUAUAUUUGUUAAUAGUUGGCCCAUCAAGAGUCCAGACAUUUAGGCCCAACUCAAAACCCAACACAAUUAGGGUUUUCACAUGAAAUGACGAUCAGGGUUAAUUAGAAACACUUAACACAUUAAGGACAUAAUCCAUUAAGUCCAUCAAUCUACUAGGUCAAUCAUAAAGUGUGGUCGGGCUUAAUUCACAAUUCCAAUCCAGUCGUCCAAAAUGUAGGUCCCGCCAAGUCCAAAAUUAAAAUCUCCAAGAUUAGGGUUUUCUAAACCCUAAUUAGGGUUUCCAACCCAAACCACGCCAAUCAGUCCCAAAAGCUAAUUCUUUAGAUCAAUUAGGGUUUCAUUAGGUAAGGCACCACCCACUAUCACCUCGGGUAGUGGUGGUCAACAGCGGCUCAUGGCAGAAACCACCAACUCGUGGUGGUGGUGGUUGUGAUUCUAGAUCGAAAACAUCCAAGCAUAUCACAGAUAGCAAUCCAUUCACACUCAAAUGCACACCGCCACCCAACACGGCGGUUGAUGGCGACAGAAGGUGGCAACAACCACCUCACAGUGGUGGUUGUGGUGAUUUCCUUGAUUAUUCCUGCCAAAACUAAAAUUAUACAACAUAAUGUUCCAAAAUAAACACACACACACAAUAUAACACACACACUCAGCCACCCUUGUGGCGGCAGACGGUGGUCGGAGGUGAUAGCCACCACCUCACGGUGGUGGUGAUGGCUCCUUUUGUGGUGUCCGGCCAAACAAAGCACACACACGGUAUGUACAACAGCAGUAGAAACAUAUACACUCGUCUUUUGCUCGUAAAGCGAACCCAAUCACCCACCUGCGGUGGGCGGCGACGACAACGGGUGGAGCAACCGGCAAUAGUAGCGCCGACAGUCGGCGUUGUCGGUGGCAACAAUGGCUUCUUCUUUAAUGAGACGACGCAUUGGCAGAAGAAUGGGGAAGAGAUGUGGUGACCGCGAACGACAGCAACAACGACAGAGGGAUAGAACCUGCUAGUGGUCUUCGUCGUCACCGGCAAAGGGAACAAUGACAACGCUGGAUGGUGGCUCACACGGCGGCAUGGUCGUCCGCUAAUGAAGAUGGUUAAUCGGAGCUUCGACAGGUCGGAAAUGAAGGAAGCCGGGUGGUCACUUGGUGGCCGCUAGCUGGUCGGAACGAACUAGGUGAAUGGUGGAAGCAGCCGGAGUUGGUUGAGUGAGGAUGGUGGCUGGGAAGUCAUUAGGGUUAGGGUUAUGGCACGGGUGACGGGUUUAUAUGUCUUGUACAAAUCCAAACAUUUGACCAUAUUGACACUUUCAGUCCCUCCUUCUCCUUUUCCUUUCAAAUUAAAUCCAACAUUUACCAAUUCAGCCCUCAGCAUUCCUAACUCUUUUCAAUUUAUGUCCUAAUAAUUACCAAGCAGCCCCUGUCUUCAAAAAUCUUUACAAAAUAAAUCCUAGAAUUAUAUUUUAACCCCUGAAUAAUCCAAAUUAUAAAAUUUGGCUCCCCGAAACCAACACCCCACUAAGUAUUAUGGAUUUUUGGGCUACUAUUCAUUCAUUAAUUUUAUCUAUUUAUUUAUUUAAUAGCGGGAUGUUACAACUACCCCCCCCCCCCCCACACACACACUUAAAUUAGAUUGCGUCCUCGAAAUCAUUCUUUUCAAUUCUUGUCACGCCAAACAACUUGAGCGUCAUGGACACAAUGUAACGCCCGUGUUUCCAGGCUAGGAAUUUAUGACAAUGUAAUAGUCUAAGUUAACAUUUGUAACCCGUCUUGAAAUAAUAAAUAUGUAUUAUUUGAGUAUUAUGUGUUUUGUGCUUAAUUGUGUGACUUAAUGAAUUAAGGAUAAAAAUAAGCGUCAAAAUGAAAUGUUAGAUAAACCCGAUAUCUAUGAAGGAUGUGGUAGUGGUUGUGACGAGGUUUCCGAAUAUAUAAAGAAUGUUGAAAUCCGAGUUAUAACGAAGAAGUUAUAACCAAGUCCACAUAGAGUUUACGGCCGUAAACUCAUAAAGAAAUGGUCCUUAGGCCGUAAACUCUAUAAAGAGGUGAUAUUGUGCCCCUAAUACUUCUUAAGGCUUGGACUUGAUCAUAGAAUGCUUACUCUUGACUUAUAAGACCUUAAAUCACCAAAUGGCACUUAGUACCAUGAGUUUACAGCCGUAAACUCAUGGGGGAAAUGACCAUAGGCCGUAAACUCCAUAAGGAAUGGUCCUUGGGCCAUAAACUCCAAAGCCAUGCCAUGCAACCUUUAAAUGCAACCCUUUAGUACCUAUAGCACUUGAAUCAAAGUGUUUCCAUGUCCUAGGGUGUCUUAACUUAGUUAAUUAGUUGUUAAAUGACUAAUUGGAUACAUAUAUGUUUUAUUAUAUGUUAACUAGGAUAAUUGCGUGUGUUCAAGUUUUCACUUGACACCUAGCACCUUGUCCAACAUUUCCAUACAAUCUACUCACUACAGGUGAGUUCAUACCCCUUAAUUAACCUUUUAAAUGUUUUUAAAUGCUUUUAUGGGGGGGGGGGGGNGGAAUACAAGUUGAAUCAUGAUAGUUAUUAUAUCAAUCACAUGUGAUUAAUAACUAGCAUACAAAUGGAUUUACUACACUUUUAGCUGUUUACCAAGCAUACUACUUCUAAAAUGAUUUUCUCAAACGUUGUUACAUGUUAAACUCUUUAUCAAACUGUCUUACAUAUUGUAUCCUUCCUUUCAAACCCUGUUACAACUGUGUUUCAAACAAAGGUUUUCAUGUAUUUCAAACUCUAUUUCAGACAAAAGAUUUCUUAUACUUUAAAUUGUUUAUAUCAAACAAACUGCUUUUAAACUGUUUUAUAAAUCAACAUCAAGUAAUCAAUUCUUAUUUAUUAAACUUUUCAAAGGUUUUACAAAACUUCUUUUAAACUUUUAUAUUGUCAAAUGCAUGCCUAUAUAUGUAUAGUUAUAUAAGCAAUGUUUAAAGGACUUAGGACUGCUAGCUCGCUUUAAUUCAUUUUCCUUGUUUGGAUGUGGCCUUAGGGUAUCGGUUAUUUGUCCGAAUAUCGUCUAAAUAUUAGUUAUAUAUUAUGUAUACAUAUAUAGACAUAAAAGUUCUAUCAGUCAAUUUAGUACCUUUGGGUAGCAAAGGCAUACUUUCGGUUAUACACGUACAUUACUAGUAACUAUAAUAGUUAGGAGAUACUACAUACUAUUCCUAGUACAAGGAAUCACAAUAGAGUCAGUUCAUUCAUGAGUCUAUACAAAUAUAUUACAUACUAUAUGAAGAGAUACUAUUACAUACUAUAUGAAAAGAUACUAUUACAUACAAUACGGGAUUGACCAUUCUACACCUGGUUGUUAGCUACAGUGGAAAAAUGCACAUCGACGGAUGUCUACGGUUGUACUGUUCGGCGAGUUUCCACGUCGUGUUUAUCCUAGUACAAAAGGAUACGAUUUCAAUAAUUAUAUUAUUUUCCUUAUUACCUUUAUUUUGUGACACAUUCACAUAAUCGAUGAGGCGGACUAGAUUUUAAUAAUAAUAGUUGUACAAGGGAAAAACGUUCAUUUUUGCAGAGGUUCAAACCUUCAAAACAGUCGAGUCUUGGUAGAAGACUACUUUUUAUACUAGUAGGAAAUAUGAGAUUUUCUAGGGUUUUCAUACUUAUACAAAAUUGUUCUUCAAACAUUUACAAGUCUUUUCUUUACAGUUUUACAAAUCAACGACAUUGAAAUACUUAUGAAUUCCCCAGCUUAAAUGCUGAUCUACGCUUUCAAAAUAACUUGUAUUCUCAGGUUACCAGUAGACAGGUACGAUGACCAGGUUUUGUGAAAACGGAGCAGUCAAGACUCAUCUUUUCAUUUUGAUUAUUCAUUAUGUUGUCUUAUUCUAUGAAAGAACACACUUGUAUUGAAAAUUAUACUAUUAAUGCAAUGGGUGAUGUUGUUGCUUGUUUACUACUUUGCAUUGUUGUGAUAUUUUACAUGACGUCCUCCGCCCCAGAACGUUUCCGCCGUUCUUGGUUUUGGGGUGUGAUAGUAGCCUAUACUAAUUAUACUCUUUAGGAAUAACAACUUAUAUACUCUUUUAGAUNAUUACUAAUUAUACUCUUUAGGAAUAACAACUUAUAUACUCUUUUAGAUAGAAUAGGUUUUAUUAAAAAUAAAAAAAUAAUAAUACAUUAAACAUUUCAUCAAACAGUUUGUAUGCAUACAAAAUAUGUAAAUCUAAUAAGAACAAAAACUGUGUUUAUAAGUACAGAUUGGUGAGGCUCUUUAGAAUGUUCUAAGGAGAUGAUAACCUUAUAAAUUUUAGUUGAAAAUAAAGGACAAAAAAGGAAGAAUAGGCAGAGGAAUUGAUUAAGCAACAUUAUAUGUGGUGAUGAGAUGCUAACUUGAAAUUCUACUGAAACCCUUGCUUUAUGGAAAUCGACUAGAAUAAAAAGAAGUUAUUAUAGAGAUUAAUUGAUACUAUAACUUGAUUAAAGCCCUCGCUUAUAGAAAUCAAUUAUGAUUUUGAUUAUGCUUCCAAGUAUAUGAAGAGAGUAAAAUCGGAAUUAUAGAGUUCUCAUUCCCUCUCAAUAUGUGAUUAAUUUCCUUUCAUACCAAGUAGCACCUUGACAUACACACACACUUGAUCUGCCUUCUCCUAUCCAGUGUCUAUCUUCUUCUCGGGAUAGCACGGCUACCCCUGCCAACUAACUAGUUAUGCCCUUGACAUGUAUGUGCGACUCAUGACACACCCUAAUACGGGUUGCAGCUAAAUUUAAGAUCACAUCUGUAACGCCCCGAUCCACAUGGUUAGUUGCUUGUUGGUUGGGUUGAGGCGGUCCUGUUUUGUGUUGAAGACCAACACACCCUCUGAGCGGUCCGGGGAGACUGUAGGCCCACGCGGCGGACCAGUCAUGCCGAAGGCUCGGGAUAGAUUCAGAUAGACUGUAGGCCCAGUAGGGCGGACCAGUCCGGCCAAUGGCUCAGUAUGUAUGCUGUUUGAUUGAUCGUUAUGGCUAUGGUUCCUGCCAGUGUGGUAUUGGUAUUUUGGGGGUAGCUCACUAAGCCCUCUGGCUUACAGUUUUCAGUUUAUUGUUUCAGGUACUUCAUGAGAGCGAGGGAAGACAAAGGCGUAACCGUACCACUCCUCAUCCUCAUGAUCUAUUUUGGGACACUCUGAUGAUAAAUGAAUUGGAAAUGUUUUGUAAAAACAAUCACUAUCUGACUCUUUUGUUAGUAUUAAAAGUUUAAAUUUGGCAUAAAUUUUAUGGGUGUUACAAGUUGGUAUCAGAGCCUUGAUUUGAGUGAAUUGGAGGAACACUCGUGUGAAUCCAGUCUCAAAUCAAGGAGAUUUUCGGAAAAUAAGUUUUAAAAUGGUUUUCAAAAUAAAGGAUGGAGGAUGUAGAGGGUACGAUCAGCCGGAGCCUGUAAGUAAGCCCCAAAAUACCAUACAGUUAUUUGAUAUUCUGAUAUGUUAGAACAACAUGCUAGUGCUAGGCUAGGGAAUUUCAGGAAUCACAUGAUAGAUUGGCCUAAUUGUAUGAUACCUAUUAGCCUAGGGUUUCUUGUAUAUGGGAUUGACAUCAUAACUGUAGAUGUUUAGUGUAUGCAUCACGGUUGUGUGUAGUCAAGAUCUUAUAGCCUGAGAAUGUCCAAUUCGACCUUAGUGUAGGAUCAGAUAUUCAAAAGUCUAUCGGUCCAGCGUUAUGUGCAGCCAGUGUACACUAGCGCUACAGGGGAUGAUGGAAGUUUCAUUGAUGUGUGAGUGGUGCGGAACUGCAGGAUCAAUUGCUAGUUAGGCGAUGUCCCCUGUUAGUGAGGGUUGAGCGCAUAUUAUGUUAAAUAUAGUUUAGGGCGUUGUGGUGAUACUUGAGACAAAUAUGGGUAGGUGUGGAAGGUAGUAGGGGCCCAUACUACUGAAAGCACAGGACCCAUACGCGUAUCAAGGAAGUCACAACCCCGAGGGAUUGAGGGUAAUUCGUCUUCCGUCAUUAUAUGAUUUGUCUGAGACAUUGUGUGUGUUUGCAGUAUGGUGGUGACGAGACGUGUUGCUUCGGGAUCCGGAUCAGGAUCAGGAUCAGGGUCAGGGUCAGGAGACGGAGGAUUGGAGGUGCCGGUAGCACCUGAGCCCGUCGUUCAGAUAGGGACUGAGGAGUUGGAUGCUCGAAUUCGAGAGAUCAUGCACGACGAGAUUGCUGCUGCAUUCCGAGCGCAGCUGCCAGAGAUGUUUGGAUCGAUUAAGAUCGCAAUGGUCAAGUAUUUUGAUGAGCGGUAUGCCGCUCUAGUAGAGACAACUGCCGCUGCAGCCACUUCGGCUGUAACUGCUGCAUGGGUUGGAGGAGGAGCCGGCAGGGCUUUCCAGUACCGGGACUUCGACAAUACGAAGCCCCUGACAUUUGAUGGUACAUAGGAUGCUAUUCGGGCUAUGAGGUGGUUAUCUGACGUGGAGGGAUGUUUCUUCACGUGUUCAUGCCCUGCUGACUAGAAGGUCAGGUGUGCCCUGAACCUGCUGAGGCUUGGGGCGAAGGACUGGUGGAGGCUGAUGACUGGGUUGUAUACUGAUGAUCAGAGGGCUACUAUUACCUAGGAGCAGUUCCGGGAUAUGUUUUGCACCUGCUACGUUCCGCACGUGGAACGGGAGCGGCUUGCUCAGGAGUUUUUUACUUUGAGACAGGAUGGGGAGUCAGUGAUGGAGAUUACUCAGAUGUUCACGGAGAGGGCUAUGUUUUUCCUGGUGUUUGCAUCGGGGCAAUCUCAGAUGACCAUAUCUGAGUAUGCUUAAGACGGAUAUACGACAGUUUGUGGCUAUACAGCGUUGCGAUACCCUUCUGGAUCUUCAAAAAGCCGCACGGCGGCGUGAGUUGGAGAUAGAGCUGCAGCUAAAGGAGCAGCGUCAGGCACCGACACAGUCUCAGUCGGCGCCUAAGCGGUCUAAAACCGCUGAUACACGGGCCAAGGGUCAUCAGAGCCGCACUUAUGGAAAGUGUGGCAAGGCUCAUUCAGGGGUUUGUCGAGCAGGAGUUGGGUGCCACAAAUGUGGUAAGGAGGGGCACUAUGCCAGGGACUGUCGUCAGUCCGCCCCUCCAGCAGAUAUGAGGAUUUGUUUCCAUUGUCAUCAGGUUGGUCAUGUGAAGACCAACUGUCCGCAGCUCGCUGCCAAGCCGGCGCAGGGUUCCGCACCAGUUACUGUGAGGAUUGGAGAUGGGAGGCCAGUCAAGAUGGAGCCUCCGAAGGCUCAGGGUCGCGCCUUCCAGCUCACGGCCGAGGAGGCCAAGGUAGCACCGGAUGUGGUUGUUGGUAUGUUUCUAUUCUCUAUCUCAGUUAUUGUAUUUGUUCUAUGCUUAUUGGUUGUGCCCAUGAUCAGAUACGUUUUUAGUAAAUUCUUUGCCUGCUUUGGUUUUAUUUGACUCGGGGGCGAGUCGGUCGUUCGUAUCUCAGACUUUCUUUAGAGGGUUCAUUGUGCUGAUAGAUGAUCUUGAGUGUCUGUUGCGAGUUUCGAUCGCUAACGAGCACGGGGUUUCUGCUUCUUCGGUCUACCGAGGAUGCGAGUUGGAGAUUUUUGGGGUGUCUUUCCCGAUAGAUUUGAUUCCUAUUCCCAUGGGGGAUGUAUGCGUGAUUGUAGGAAUGGAUUGGCUUAGCUGUUUUGGCGCCAUGAUCGACUGUGAGGGACAACGGGUAGUGGUUCGAACCCCAAGUGGGGGAGAACUGGUAGUAUAUGGUGAGGGAACCAGGUCGGGAUCAGGGUUUUGUUCGGCGGCCAGGGCUCGACAGUAUAUUUAGCACGGGUGUGCCAGUUAUUUGGCGUAUGUGGUAGAUACGCGGGUUAGAGAGUAGAUCUCAGUUUCAGAGGUCCCAAUGGUUAGAGAGUUUGCUGAUGUGUUUCCGGAGGAGUUACCCGGAGUGCCUCCGGUGAGGCAGGUUGAGUUUAGGAUUGAUCUAGUGCCAGGUGCGGCCCCAAUUGCCAAGGCGCCAUACCGUUUGGCACCGCCAGAGAUGCAGGAUCUAUCAUCUCAGCUGCAAGAACUGCUGGGUAAGCAGUUUAUUCGUUCGAGUAGCUCACCCUGAGGAGUAGCGAUCCUCUUCGUCAGGAAGAAGGAUGGUUCGCACAGGAUGAGAAUUGACUAUAGGGAGCUGAAUAAGUUAACGGUGAAGAACCGUUAUCCACUCCCGAGGAUAGAUGAUAUUUUCGACCAGUUGCAGGUUGCAUCUUGGUUUUCCAAGAUCGAUUUGAUAUCAAGAUACCACCAGGUCAGGGUGAGGGAGUAAGAUGUGGAGAAGACCACGUUCUGGACUCGUUAUGGUCAUUACGAGUUCGUGGUGAUGCCGUUUGGACUCACCAACGCGCCAGUAGUAUUCAUGGAUCUGAUGAACCGAGUCUGCAGACUGAUGAUCGAUCGCUCGGUCAAUGUGUUUAUAGAUGAUAUCUUGGUGUAUUCCAAGACCCGAGAGCAUCAUGAGGAGCACCUCAGGGAGCUAUUGGAGGUGCUGCGACGAGAACAGCUUUAUGCCAAGUUCUCGAAGUGUGAGUUCUGGUUGCGAGAGGUUCAGUUCCUUGGACAUCUCGUUAACCAGGAUGGGAUUUUGGUCAAUCCGGCCAAGGUGGAGGCGGUUAUGCAGCGGGAGACUCCGAGAUCUCCCUCAGACAUCAGGAGUUUUCUGGGAUUAGCAGGGUAUUAUCGGAGAUUCAUUCGUGAUUUCUCCAAGGUUGUCGUACCCCUCACUCGUCUAACGAGGAAGGGAGUAGAUUUCUGGUGGGGCCCAGAGCAGCAUAGGGCGUUUGAGACAUCCGACGGCGGUUAUCCGAGGCGUCAGUGUUGACACUCCUCGAGGGAGUGGAGGAUUUCGUGGUAUAUUGUAAUGCGUCCAUCACAGGCUUAGGGGCAGUCCUCAUGAAGAGGGGGCGAGUGAUGGCUUAUGCAUCGUGGCAGUUGAAGCCGCAUGAGAUGAGAUACCCCACGCACGAUCUUGAGCUAGGAGUGGUGGUCUUCGCUCUCAAGAUUUGGAGGCACUAUCUGUACGGGGUCCGUUGUACCAUAUACACGGAUCAUAAGAGUUUGAGGCACAUAAUGGAUCAGCCGAACUUGAAUAUGAGGCAGCGCAGGUGGCUGGAUGUAGUCAAGGACUAUGAUUGCGAGAUCCUUUACCAUCCUGGUAAAGCGAAUGUGGUUGCGGAUGCUCUGAGCCGCAAGUCAGCAGGGUCUUCUACCCCAGCCAGGUGUAUGAGGAUAGCGGUGGAUUCCCCGCUGGUGGGUUUUGUUAGGGAUGCUCAGAUCGAGGGUAUGAAACCGGAGAACUGGAAAUUGGAAAGGAUUAAGGGCGAAAGCGCCUGGUUUGUUCAGGAUAGCCGCGAGCUAUUGACCCAAUAUGGUCGGGUUUGGGUUCCGAUGACCGGAGGAGUUAGGCAGACAGUAAUGGAGGAGGCUCAUAAGUCUCGUUUUUCUAUUCACCCGGGGGCUACCAAGAUGUACCGUGAUUUGAUUUUGAGUUAUUGGUGGCCUGGUAUAAAGCGAGAUAUCGCCAGUAUGUUGAGAGGUGCUUGACCUGUAGGAUGGUCAAGGCUGAGCACCAGAGGCCGCAUGGUAAGCUGCAGCCUCUGGAGAUUCCCAUGUGGAAAUGGGAAUGGAUCGCGAUGGAUUUCAUCACGAAAUUGCCAAGAACGGCAAAGGGAUUCGACGCUAUAUGGGUCAUCGUGGAUCGAUUGACCAAGAGUGCCCAUUUCCUAGCUAUACGGGAGAGUUCGUCGGCAGAGAAAUUGGCCGACCUAUACGUCCGCGAGAUUGUCUCUCGCCAUGGGGUUCCAGUUUCCAUAGUUUCCGAUCGGGAUGUCCGAUUUACUUCCCGUUUUUGACAGAAGUUCCACGAGGAACUAGGUACGAGGCUGCAUUUUAGUACAGAGUUCCAUCCGCAGACUGAUGGGCAGAGUGGGCGGACCAUUCAGACCCUCGAAGAUAUGUUGAGGGCGUGCGUUAUUGAUUUCGAUGGGAGUUGGGAUUCCCACCUACCACUUGUAGAGUUCGCCUACAACAACAACUAUCAUUUCAGUAUUGGUGUCCCGCCUUUCGAGCUGUUGUAUGGGCGGAAGUGUAGGACCCCAGUCUGUUUGGGCGAGGUUGGGCACAGGGUGAUAGGUCGGACAGAGGUAGUUCUGCAAACUACCGAGAUGAUACAACAGAUUAGACAGCGGCUGCAGACCGCUCAGAGUCGAUAGAAGAGUUAUGCAGAUCGACGUCGAUCUGAGUUGGAAUUUUAGGAGGGUGACAUGGUUCUCCUGAAGGUCUCACCCUAGAAGGGUGUGAUCCGUUUCAGGAAAAGGGGAAAAUUAGGUCCCCGAUACAUCGGGCCGUUCAGGAUUGUUGCCAGGGUUGGCAGUGUGGCUUAUAGGAUAGAGCUUCCGGAGGAACUUAGCUGAAUCCACAACACAUUUCAUGUUUCGCAAUUGCAAAAGUGCAUCAUGGACCAGGAGGCAGUGGUAUCGUUGGAUGACAUUCAGGUCGAUGAGAGCCUGAACUAUGUGGAGAGGCCUGUAGCUAUUUUGGAAAGGAAGAAGAAGAUUCUGUGAAACAAGGAAAUACCUUUAGUAAAGGUGCAGUGGGAACAUCGGAGGGGAUCCGAGUGGACGUGGGAGCCGGAAGCGAAAAUGCGCGAGCAUUACCCGACAUUGUUUUCUUCAGCGGACUUCGAGGGCGAAGUCUAGUUCAAGUGGGGGAGAAUUGAUUAAGAAUUCCUGGACGAAGCUCUACUCGACGAGUUGGUCGACCUACUCGUCGAGUAGCAGCGGGGUGAGAACACGUGUUUAGUGACCUACUUGGCGAGUCCACUAUUGGGACUCGGCGAGUAGGAGCUGACAGAUGAAACCCUAAAUCCCGGGGUUUGCACCCUUAUUUAAAGGAGCCUCAACCUCCUUUGGGUCUCCUUACAGUCUUUGAGAGCCCUUAAAACCCUAAUUCGUGUGUGUGUGCCUUGGUGUGGGUUUGAAGCUUGGAAAAGAGGAUCUUGGAGGAAGGAAGCUAAGAGUGCAAAGGAAAUUGAAGCAAGAAAGGAUUGGGAAGCAGGUUUUGCCUCAACAAGCAUCGUUUGAAGGUAUCAAAGUGCCAUUCUUACUUCCUUUUCUUCCCUUUUGUUGAGUUCUAGGGCUUUUUAUGGAUUUUCAAGUUGGGAUGUUGAGCUAUGGGCUAGAUCUGAAGUUGUAACUUCAGAUCUGGACCCUCCUUGGAUGCUAGAGUCAUAAAGUUGUUGUAUUGGUUGUGAUUGAAGUUCCUCUUGGACUAGAAGCUCCAUUAAGAACUUAAAAUAGACAUUUGGAGCCUUUAUAACCAUGCAUGCACGUAAAGUUUGCAACUUUACUUGGUAAGUAUGCCCUAGAAGCUUGGAUCUGUGAUUUGGAGCCACUGCAUGGCUCAAAACAAGUCUGUAUGGAAAGAGGACUGGAUGGACUCGGCGAGUCGCAAGAAUGAUCUCGGCGAGUCACAUGAAGAUGGUCAUUGAACUCGGCGAGUUGGAUGAACAACUCGGCGAGUUCGAUGAAGAUCGCCAUAAAACUCGACGAGUUGAAGAACAACUUGGCGAGUCGGAUGGCUUUUCCCUAGGAUAUGCAUGCAUGUGUACCCGUCGAGUGGCAAGGAGGAAACUCGACGGGUGGCCUUAAGGAUUGAUCAGGAUUCGAAGGAACUCGACGAGUCACUCCGAUGACUCGGCGAGUUGGAAUGUGUUCCAUGGACUCGGCGAGUGGCCGAGUGUACUCGGCGAGUUGAGGUCAACAUGGAUUGUUGACCUUGACUAAGGAUUUUGACCUUGAUCAGGAAUCACUAAAAGGUUAUGGGGUGUCUCAUAAGAGUAAGAACUUAUGAGUAUAUUGUGUUAUGGUUAUAGGUGGUGGAGCCGGUGUCAAGUGAUCCGAUAGUCGGAGUUGCAUUUCGAAUCGACAUCUGCAAGGUGAGUUAUCCUCACUAUAUCGAUAGGGUCUACGACGCCAAGGCCGACCCUUUAUGAUUUACAUCUUGGUUUAGGAUGGUUGCUUUGUUAUUGCCAUGUUAGAUUUCAUCCUGGUUUAGGAUGGGUGUUAUGUGAUUACUAUGUUAGAAUUCAUCCUGUUUAGGAUGGUUGUUAUGCUAGAGAUCGGUUAGAUCGGUUGUCAUGGUAUGCCACAUAUGAUUCUAAUCUGUUAGAUCGAAAUCAGGAUAGAUAGUAUGAUAUGCUUUUAUGAUCCGUCAGGAUUGGUAUGUUAGUGACCUGUUAGGUCGAUGCUCUAGUUAUGAGUGAAACUCUAUGAUUGAUGGUAAAUGAGAUAGAUAUGUUUGCUAUGUGUAUGUGCCAGUAUAUGAUAGUAUGCGUACAUGGUUAGUUGCUCGUUGGUUGGGUUGAGGCGGUCCUGCUUUGUGCUGAAGGUCAACACACCCUCUGAGCGGUCCGGGGAGACUGUAGGCCCACGCGGCGGACCAGUCAUGCCGAAGGCUCGGGAUAAAUUCAGAUAGACUGUAGGCACAGUAGGGCGGACCAGUCCGGCCAAUGGCUCAGUAUGUAUGUUGUUUGAUUGAUCGUUAUGGCUAUGGUUCCUGCCAGUGUGGUAUUGGUAUUUUGGGGGUAGCUCACUAAGCCCUCUGGCUUACAGUUUUCAGUUUAUUGUUUCAGGUACUUCAUGAGAGCGAGGGAAGACAAAGGCGUAACCGUACCGUUCCUCAUCCUCAUGAUCUAUUUUGGGACACUAUGAUGAUAAAUGAAUUGGAAAUGUUUUGUAAAAACAAUCACUAUUUGACUCUUUUGUUAGUAUUAAAAGUUUAAAUUUGACGUAAAUUUUAUGGGUGUUACAACAUCCCUGGCUAUAAGCCGUCAUUUCACUACUAAAAAUUUGUUAACAAAAGAAGUUUGUUAUUAAUCGGAACCCAAUUGUUCCACCAAUGGAUAUAAUUACUUUGCGUGCAACCUUUAUCUCAAAUUCUCAAUCAAUCUACACAAGGAAUUAACACAAAAAGUUCUUGAAAUGUCUCCCGACCAAAUCCAUUAUUUUUUUUGGUGGUUGUUGGCACUAAAAAGCCCAUAUUUAAUUACGGAGUAGGACUGUGAAAUUGUUUUAUUGUUAAUUUGCGUACUUUAGUUUUAAACAUACAUAUUUAUUUAAGAGUGAAAUCAUAUGAUGUUUGUCUUUGGUUAGAAUUUGAUUUUUUAGGGUAAAUAACACAAAAGACAUUCAGGUUACAUUAAAAUUUUAAUUUGACACUGUAUUUUUUUUUCUCAAAUUUGACACUGUGUUUUCCAAUUUGUUAUAAUUUUGACCACUUAAACGGUCCGGUUACAUGCUGAAGUGACAUACUGACAUCAUAUGUUAACAUGUCAAAAUUGAAUUUUUUUUCCACAAAAAACACUAAGUUUUCAUUUUUUUUUUUUUUCGAUUUUGACACUAAGUUUAAUUUGAUCUUUCAAUUUUCACACUAAGUUUUUUUUUCCAAAGUGAAUAUCAUUUUUUUCAAUUUUGUUCAAUGCUGAUAAUUUUCUAUUUGAAACCGUAUAAAUACGUUUUUUUCAAUUAAAAACCAUAGUUUUGUAGAAAUACAAUGGCUUUUUUUUUUUUUUUUUUUUUUUUUUUUUUUUUUUAAUUUCAACCNAUAAAGCCAUAAUUUUAUGUAUAAAUAUGUAUUAGUUAUAUAUAAAACUGUAUUUAUAUUAAAUACGCAACUUUAAAAUGAGUUUGAAGGUUUGAAGGCGUGUAGUCGAUCAAAACCCGGAUGUCAAGUUUGCAACCCGUGAAAUUUUUACAUCUUAUUAGAAGAUUAUUGUUAGUUUGAUUAUCAUGAUAUAACUAAUGCAUAUUAUAAAUGCAUAUUAUAACUAAUGCGUAUUUAUACAUUAUGUUUUGAAUGUAAAAAAAAAAAACAAACAAAAACAAGAAAAAACAAAAAAAAAACACAUUGUAUUUUAAUAAAAAUGUGGUUUUUAAACAAAAAAAUAUAUUUAUACAAUUUAAAAUGUAAUAAAAAAAUAUAUUUAUACGGUUUCAAAUGGAAAAUGGUCAAAAUUGAACAAAAUUUGGUAUAUGAUGUUCGAUUUGGAACAAAAAAACAUAGUGUUAAAAUUGAAAGAAAAAAUUAAACUUAGUGUCGAAAUCGAGAAAAAAAUGAAAACUUAAUGUUUUUUGUGGAAAAAAUUCAAUUUUGACACGUCAGCAUGCCACGUCAUCAAAACUGACACGUCUUCAUGCCACGUCAGCAUGUAACCUGGUUGAUCGGUCAAGUGGUUAGAAUUGUAACAAACUGAAAAACACAGUGUCAAAGGAGAUCGCACAGACCUAUUAACACAACAAGAAGAGAGAAACGCCGUCAUGAGGCUAAGAAAGAAGAAAAACAGAGAUGAAGAAGAAAGAAAUGGACAUUUCUGGGUGUUGUAGUGGCAACGAGAAGUAAUGAGAUGUUGAAUGAGGGUGGUGUUCAUCUCUCCUUAACGGCAUAAAAGGAGGUCGUAUAAACCUAUCAAUGCAAUUGAUAGACCCAUAUCGAUUAGUCUUAAGACCAGACUGACAACAAAUAUCAAACAUUUGGAUUGUUCGAGUUAAAAAGUUAAGUUAGAGAUUAAACAUGAUAGUAACCCCAAUCCAGAGGGACCAUCCGAGUAGUUUUCUCAAGUUAUUCUGUUAUUGUAAUGAUUUAUUUAUUUUAAAUGAGAUGGAUUUAAUAAAAAUAAAAUAAUAUACAAAUGAAGUGUAACAGUUUAUUAAAUUCACAAAGUUAAAUCACAAAAAAAAAAAUGUUACAAAAUUCAAAGAUAAUUUUCACCCAAAAUAAAAUUUAUCCUAAUUAACAUCCUAAAAGCAUUACUUUGCACUUUACAACACAAAAUUUAUACAUCAUUCACCACAACAUCAAAAUAUACAAAAAAAAAAAAAAAACAACAAAAUUCUAAGUUUGGAUCCAACAAAUCAAAUAACAAAUCUAAAUCCACAUAUCCACCGGAAACGACGACGCUUCAAUCUUCAUUACAACGUUUCCUCAUCACCGGAAACCACCGCCAAAAGAGAAAACUUCACCCGCAGCGAUAUCUUACUCUUUUCAACCACCAGCCGUCCCCCCGACACCACCCAAUAUCCCGGCAAAUCCUGCGGCCCUCUCGUCAACUCCGUCGUAUCAACAAACUUCAAAAGCUUCUUUCCAUGAGCCGACACCGGUGGUCCACCAGGUAACGCCGAGUUCAUGUUCACCACUCUCGGAUCCGGCGGUGGUCUCUGACCGGUCGAAAACCUACCCGAAAUCAACGUCGAAACGAUCCCGGAUUUCUGAGAUAAAACCGGUGACCCGUCCCACUCCGGUUGCCUCACCACCGUCGCCCCCACCACUUUUGCGAACCGGAGGCGUAAGAAGAGAACUCGUUUUAAACCAGAGUCGCUGACUUCGAACUCGGCGCCAGUGACGAUGGAGAGGUCGUCGUCGGAUUCCACCGGAGCACUGUAAAUAUGUGAGAAGCUUUUCCAUUGGACUUUCUCGUAGUACCUUUUGUCUUUAGGGUUUGUGGAUGAGUUAGGGUUUGGUUCGAUUUCGAGUUUGAAGCUUUUGGGCAUGGAGGAAAGAUGCUGUAAAUGAAUCGCUAAACAGUCGUUUCGUUUUCCUUCUAAGUAAAGACGAAGGCCUGUUACUGGAUUAUCUCCGACAUCCACCUGCGGAUUUUAUCGCCGGAAAAUUUGAAUCAGUAUACUGGAAGCAGAGUUUCAUACGUAGACCGGAUUGGACCGGUUCUCAAUUGGGAAUUCUUUGGACCGUUUUUUUUUUUUUUUUUUUUUUUUUUUUUUUUUUUUUUUUUUUUUNNNNNNNNNNNNNNNNNNNNNNNNNNNNNNNNNNNNNNNNNNNNNNNNNNNNNNNNNNNNNNNNNNNNNNNNNNNNNNNNNNNNNNNNNNNNNNNNNNNNNNNNNNNNNNNNNNNNNNNNNNNNNNNNNNNNNNNNNNNNNNNNNNNNNNNNNNNNNNNNNNNNNNNNNNNNNNNUUUUUUUUUUUUUUUUUUUUUUUUUUUUUUUUUUUUUUUUUUAAAGGUUGUAAAUAGCCUAACCUUUAUGCUUUAGGAGCUUUACAAUCAAAUUGAUGUAUUUUAGGCAUGGUUUAGAAGGAGACAACUUUGUAUGUAAAUAAUUAUUAUAUACAGAUAUUAGAUAUAUAUGGUUUCUAAUGUUAUUACAAUUUUGUAUAUAAUUUAUAAAAGUUAUUUGCUAAAAUUGCCAUAUUUGAAAGUUUGUAUAUCAAGAUAAUUGUUUGUAACAAAAUGACCACAAACAUCACGAAAAAAUAUCGACAAUUUUUUAAAUAUUCCGUCAAAAAACUCGUGAAUUUUAGCCACGAAACUACUUAAGAUUGGAAUUUUUUGAUUAUAUUUGUGAGUUCAAAUGAACUUUUCGCAAGGAUAAAAAGUCUUGAAAUCUACUAAGAAAUGUUUUUCCUAAAAAUCUAAACAAAAUAAGAUGUAACAAAAAUGGUUUAAGUGUGUAUAGUUGGAGCGAUAGGUCUUGGAUUCAAAUCCCCAAGACUUUUUUACAUAUUGAAGUUGAAGUGUAUCUUUUCAUCGUUCAUAGUAAUUUUGUUUAAUUUUUAUGGAUAUUAAAGUAAUUUUUUGUAAGAUUUUAGUAAUUAAUAAAAACAUGCCUGAUUCGUGUUAACAUAGAGCUUCGGACCCAAAAAUCUGAACUGCAAAGCUGCGUUGUGUUGUUUACCCUCGGGACCCACUGCAAGCUCACCAAACUCCGGUGCCCAUCUUGUCGGAAGUUGAAACUCUAAAAACUGCUGAAGCUCUUCAAUUGGUGGCUUAUCUGCAAAACACAUGUAGCCAUUAGAAGACGACAAAAGCACUAAACACAAGCUUUUGUACUGUGUUAGGUAUGCAUUGUCCUGUUGUCACACGACUUAUGUCACUAAAACAAAAAAUUAUAAUUUUUUAUCCCACCCCAAACGGUUUAGAAACGGGGACAUGACUCACUCUUGGUCUCUCGUUUGUUCAAAAGACUAAAAUGCCCUUGUCAUGAUGUCCCUAGCAUAAAGGGUAUUUUAGGCAUUUGACUUUGUGUUUGUCAAGCGUUUAUACAUCAAUUGGUCGGAUCAAAUAAAUGGAAAGAUAUGGAUGUUUUUGCUUACAACGUAUAUAAAGAUUGAUGGCGUGAGUUAAAAAUCCAUUUCCAUCUAUUCCACUUAAUAACGACGUGAUUGGAACAAACGACAUUGAGAUGACUUCGGGUUCGAGUUGAACUGUUUGACACCAUGUGCGAUGGUCGAGGUUUUUUCCAUAGCUUCCCCCUCUUCUCCUCCAAAAAAGAGUUAUAUCCUGCAAAAUCACGACCAAAAGCGACGCAAUGCAGAAUCUCAGUAUAAUCACUAUUUAUUUACCAAGGUUGUGCAAGACUGGAAAAAGCAGUCCACACAAAUUUUUGUCUCAUUAACAUCGGUCCAAGUCCAAUACACGUCAAAUACAGUACAACUAUUUGGUGUAACAAACGGAGUCCAAAGGCAAAUAGCGGAUAUGUUUAUAGAACACGACUAUCGCAAAAUUUAACGAGACAAUACCAAAUUCUAACCUCAAUUGGUGGAUUCAAGUUUAUCAAGCCGUAGUCGUUUCUUUCAAGCUGAAACAUAAAAGAGUAUUAUAUAAGAAUAUGAGAUUAGAGAUUUCACAAACUUUUAUAAUAUAUCUUGUUCUUUUACCAUAGUGAAUGUUAUUAGUAGACCACUUGGAUCAAACUUUUAUUCUUUAUCUCUCCCACUUAAUUUUUUUUACUCUUUUAUCAAUGUAGUUAAGGGUUAUUCAAUGUAAGUUGUCAAAUGAGAUAAAUUUUAGAAACGGAUAGUUUUGCCAUAAACGGGAAGAAAGUGAAAUGUAUUGUGUUAAUAAAAGUAUAGAAAAGAUGCUACAACCAGCUCCGAAUCAUGCGUCUCUCUUGGGUUAUCGUUAUGUUGUCCACUAAAUCUCUUUUCCGCUACGCCUUUUAGCUUAUUUCGCACCUCAUCCAAUGAGAGAGUUGAUGAAUGUUGUUGUUUCAUAUACACAACGUCUUUUCCUCCCAUUUUUACACCCGAAAUUACAUGGGUACCAAACCUUUCGAUAAACCUACAAACAUCAUAAAAAAUCCAAACUAAAAAUCAAGUUUGUGAUGCUUAAAAUAGAUAACAGAAUAUAUCAGGACAUGAUGACAUGACAUAACACUUUUUGACAUGAACAAACACAGGAUAUGAUGACAUGACAUAACACUUUUUGACAUGAACAGACACUGAUGUCAACUAGACAAAAACGAGAUUGUUCUGGCCCAAAGGUGGAAUAAGGUGGGACAUUGAGUCAGUCUCUAACUGUUCUCUAUGUAAAAGACAUAAAUGCCCUUGUGAUCUUGCUAUGGAAAAUAUCCCCAAAAUUGUCAUAAGAGUCAUAACUUUUGCUUACUAGACAAAAAUGUGGAAUAAGGUGGGACACUGAAUCGGCCUCUAACCGUUCUCUAUGUAAAAAAGACGUAAAUGUCCUUGUGAUCUUGCUAUCCAAAAUAUCCCUAAAAUUAUCAUAAGAGUAGCGAUUUUUGCUUACUUGGCCAAUGCUGCAGGUUCCCAUGAGGAAGGAACUGCGUUUUUGACAUGAUCACGUAAAGCAAUUUGGGAUUUUUCAAGCUUGAUAUUGUAAAGUGUAAUGAAGACGCCAUCUAAAGCGAGGGAUUUUGUAUUUGCAGCAUCUUUCUGCCAUGAUCCCGUGAAUUCAAAUGCAGCGUUCAGUUGGCCGGUCGGAAUUCUGCCGGAAAGUGAUACAUCCUGGUUAAAUUGCUCCGACAUCUACAAGAACAAGAAAAACGACACCUUUGAUAUAUCAAAGAUUCGAACCCAUAACAUAAAAUCAUUACACGAAGGAAAAUUAAACUAUUAUCGUACAAAUAAAAAUGAAAAUUUGUGGAUUUACCUUCUGAAAAGAGAGGGUAUCUGAGCUGAAUCGCAUCCUUUCACCUUUAUCACAAUUAAUCGAUUUUGAAACAUUUUGAAUCAAAAUCCCACCUGGAAUCAGUAUAUCUCUCACCUGUUCUUCAUCUAUACCGAUUAAUCUCGAUUCCGGCGACUUCCCUUUGCAGUAUUUCAACCUCAAAUCCUCAGUCAAGUCAUACCCUAACCCAAUUGAUCCGAUCGCCGUCUCCGCCGCUGUCUUCAGCCGUAACGCCACCUCCUUACUACUACUACCCAUCAAAAUUAGUUGUGUAAACCACAAAUAAACCGCAAAAUUAGGUGAAUCCGUGGAAUUUUUCCUUCGAUUAUGGUUUUCUUUCACCUGCUACGGUUUGAAUCGGAAGUAGUCAACUCGUUUUCUUGGUGUUUUGUUGACUGUGAAUUUAAAUAAUGUUCAGGUGGAAGAUGAUGAAAUGUUCGUCAGAUUUUACAUCGUGGAUGUAUUUUAUAUAAUUAAUUGUCGCGUAUAUUGUUGGUACAAUACGCGGAAUCAUUUGGGGUUUGGAGAUAAAGUCAAAAUAGAAAUGCUGUAAUUGGUUUUCAAGAGGAGUGCAAAAGGUCAAAGAAAGUUGGUUGUUCUUGAUGCCGCCCGUCGCCGGCGUAAACACACUUUUUAUUGGUGGUCGGAGAUUCAAUGUUAUUCUUUACUUCCCAUUUUCCAUAAAAAGGUUAAUUAUUGGUUUCUAUAUUCAUUUUGGUUCUUAUAUUUUAAACAAAAUAUUCACCACUUAUAGACUUUGAAAACACAAACACAAUGAUAAAUAUGCGACAAAAUUGCAAAAAUGGUCCCUGUGGUAUGCAUAUUUUUAGGGUUUUAGUUCAAACCAUGACUUUUUGGAUUGAUGGACCUUUUGAGCUAGUUUCAUUGCGUUUUUGGUCCCCCUGAAUAGUGGAAUGACUGUAGUACCCUUAUGUUAUUUAUUUUUCAUUUAUUUUUCAUUUCUUUCAUUUUUUUUAAAAUCUAAAUACUUAUUUAUUUAUGUAACUAAUUAAAAAAAAAAUAAAAAUCUCUCUCUCUCUCUCUCUCUCUCUCCGGGUCAUAUACCCAUUUCUUUCUUUCGUUCCCGAUUUCAACGAACAAGAAGGGGCUGUGCUACCUCCAACAAUCUGGAGAUAGCCACAACACCACCUGCUAGCCUCCAUUCGACCACCAAACUCCACCGUAAACCGCUACAUUUCCGCCCACCAUAGAACCAUUCUAGCCUCACCCCAUCUCUUUUUCUUUUCCGAGGGUUAGGAUGUGAGUUUCUUCUCGUCUGUUAAGCCUUUUGACGAGGUUGUUACCAUCGAUUAAGGGGGCCAGCAGAGUAGUGGGUGAAAUGAUGAGUGUUUGGUGGUUCUACACGAUCAGAGGGAAGCAUAGAAGGGAGGGGCUGUGAAGGUGGUGGUCGGUAGCCUCCUUUCUUCGUCGGUGGAAGAGUGGGUGAGAAAUUAUCAGUUAAAUCUGGGAUUUAUAUGUAUGUUUGUGUUGAAUUUUCUAAUCUUCAUAUGGUUUCUAGAUAUUUAUUUUGUUCAUCUUUGUAUGUAUGUGUAUGAAUCAGUAAGAGAGACACAUGGUAGGGGUUUACCGAUCUGAUAUAUCUAAAGUUUGAAUUAUAGCUUUGAAAUUUUUGGUUCGAGUUCAUGAGAUCUAGAAAUUUUGGAAAUUUUGUUUGAGUUAAUCAGAUCUGGAAAGUUUGGUUUAAGUUCACCAGGAGAAAAAAUCGAUCUCAUGUGUCUAUUCAUUUGAUAUUGUGUAUGUUUGUGUGUUCAUCUGAUAUGAUUUAGGUGGAUACGGAGGUGGUGGAUUGUAGUGGUGGUGGGUUGUAGUUGUGGCAGACGGUGAUCGAACGGUGGUGGCGGCGAAGAUGUUCUUGAGUGUUCUAAAGGAAGAAGAAGAAGAAGGGUAAGAAGAUGGGUCUAGGAUGGAUAACAUGAGAGAGAGAGAUUUAUUUUUUAAUUAGUUAAAUAAAUAAAUAAGUAUUUACAUUUAAAAAAAUGAAAGAAAUGAAAAAUAAAUAACAUAAGGGUGUUAUAGUCAUUCCACUAUUUAGGGGGACCAAAAACGCAAUGAAACUAGCUCAAAAGGACCAUCAAUCCAAAAAAGUCGUGGUUUGGACUAAAACCCCAAAAAUAUGCAUACCAUAGGGACCAUUUUUGCAAUUUUGUCUAAAUAUGCAAAUGAGAAUAAAGAAUUCAAAGGUUAGAUUUUGAUUAAACUAAUCAAACUAUAUUUCCCCAACAAACUAUAGAGAUAUUUGAAUUAUACUUUUGAAUGCAUACUUUUUGUAUUAGGGUUACAAAUUAAUGUCUUAAGUCAUGCCUUACAAAUGAUGUGACUCGUCAAGACUCGUAAAAAUUUGAAGUGGCUCGCCACGGCUCGUAAAAGCUUGAGGCUUGACUUAGCUGUCAAGUGACGUCUAACGUUAUUUAGAACCUUGGUUACAAUUAUAAUGAGAGGUCAAUUGAUAAUAGACUUUUGACCUAAUUUCUUCUCGACUAGGCUCAUGAUAUAACAUACAUCAGUUGACCUAUGAUGACAUGACCUAUGAUGACAGACGUGGUCCUAAAGUUACUAGGUCAGCAUUGAAGUUUAAAGUCUAGGACUACUUCUGAAGGCUAAGCGUGAUGUAUACCAAAAGCGAAGCUCGGAUGUACAAUGAAGGCGAAGAUGAUAAGCUCGUUCUUCACAACUACGCUUUGGUGUUUAACUUUGCUGCCAAGUCUUUUAGACUUUGCUUUUUAACUUAAUUUGAAGCUCUAGUUCUUGGAUCUUGAAUUCGUCCAUGGUUUGCAGCUUCGCUCAUAAACAAAAUUCAACAACUUCGCUAAUUGGCUUCGCCCCAAGGAUUCCGGUCAAAACUUUGCACCAUCAACUUUGCUAAGCCUUUGAUUUUGAAAUACAAUUGCUCCAAUAAAUUUCUUCAUGGGGUGCUGCCCCCACCCCCAUAAUUGACCCCUACAAGGAAUAGGACCCCACGCUUGGUCUCCGUAUUGACAAUGAAGUCGAAAGAAGAAUUAAAUUCCACAACUCAACAAUAACUAUAUCAAGAUUAAAAAUGAAAAGACUACACCCACAUUUUUGGAAAUUUUUGCAAAUAACUAUUAUUUUCGGAAAUACUCAAUUUUCGAACUUAACAAUUAGUUUUUUCUGAAAAAUGAUUCAACAAUUUUGAGGUUAACAAUAUACAAUUUGUACAUAGCACAAAUAUAUAGACACUGACUAAUAUUUUAUUUUCUCCGAAAGGGUGUGUAUUUGUACGAAAAAAAUGUUUUUUUUUCUGUCAACCCAAGCUUGUUUUUUGAGAAUAUAUUUCUGAAUACCAUGGAUAAUAGAAGUUUAAAGAUUAGCUUGCCAGAUGAAUUUGGUUAUAAUUUUUUUCUUGAUCAAUUCAUUAGUCUUGAACUUCUUGAAGAAGAUCGUCCUUUCUUUGAUUGCAGUGUAGACAUCCUCACAAAGCUUUUCGACAUCUGUCUCUCAAGCUUUCACAACAAUCUUGAUCUUGCACAAUAAUCUUCAUCUCUUCAGACAUCCUCUAGUACCUUUGGAAUAGGUUGGGGAAUGAGCUUGAACCUCACCCCCUAUAUUUAUGUAGGAUUUUUUAGUGGACAUAUUUUUGAGUAAGUUAAGAUUUGGUGUUGGAAAUGUAAGCUUUAACAAAUUUAUAUUACGAUGGGAAAUAGUGAUAGGUCUAUGUUAUAUGGAGAGUUAGGUUAGAUAUAUAAACUUAGUUAAAAUUAUUUUGUCUUACGUUAGACCAUUUAACCCCUCCUAACUAUUUCAUUUUACUUAUUGAUUAUGUAAUGUUUACUUUUUUAUAUCUAAGUACCUUCAUACAUCAACAAACAUACAACAAAUCAUACCAUAAGUUCAAUAUUGCAACCAGGGAAGUCCAUUCAAAUCAAAGAUUUAACUAUAAAGCAUAAAACCACACUAAAUUGAACAAAGCCCUAGUUUUCAAAGAUAUGUAUAACGUACUUCAUAAUUCCAUGAAAUUAAUACAAUGGAGUAAAAAGUAGUGGAGGAAUCAUACAAAAGUGAAGAUUAAAUAAGAAAAACAAAGAUAUUCGAAGUUGGGAUGAUGAGCUACUAAUGACGUCGAUGUGAUGUGAGAAGUUGUAAAAAGUCAAAAAAGGUUAAAGAAGAUAAAAUCCUAUUAAGCUCAAAUACACGUUGUGUAUAGUCACCAGGUUCGUCGUGUUUGUGACAAAGGGUUCUUCAGCUUGAGAUCUAUCGUUGUAUGUAUCAUGUUUUUCUUCAAGGCAUGUCGUGUAAUGUCUACAAUUCUUAAAACUCAAAAACUUCACCAAUUUUUAUAACAAUAAAUCCCACAUCAAUGACAACCCAAAUACAUCAUAUAACUAUGACCAUCUUUUGAAGGGUGAAAUGCAAUCAAAAUAACUCAAAAACCCAUAAAACAAGAAGUACAGAGGAAUCAUACAUGGAGUGCAAAUUAAACAAGAAAAUGAAUGUAACAUCCCAAAAUUUCAAUAUAAAAAUUUUGUUUUUAAUUCAACCAUAAAACACCAUUUAGUAAUACCAAUCAUUCAAAAGUAUAUUAAUGUAAAAGCAAUUAUCAGAGUACAAUCCAAAAAAUCAUCACAUUGCGGAAACUUGGGUGGAUGCAGUGUAGUCACUGUGACAUCCCCAAUUUCACAGCCAGAAAAGACCGAUUUGUUUAUGCUUUAUUUGAAAACCAGAGUACCUUUUUGAGAAAAUGUUGCGGAAUUUGUUCCCAAAAAUAUGAUAAAGAAUUUAUCAAAGCAUUUCCGAAGAAAUGUAUUUUCCUUAUAUUAAAAACCUCUGGAUGUCAUUGUCAAUACAAAUCAAAAGCAUAAACAGAAACAAAAUAUGACUUACAACAUUCUAUUUAUUUCUACUGGCCUAUAAUCCACAAUCUCUCAUCAGAUCAUCACAUCUAUGCUCUUGUGUUACUACCUGUAAUACAAGAAACUGAGUGGGUCAGACUUGAGAGCCUGGUGAGCACAUAGGGUUUUUAACCUAUAAUAAUUACGUUUAUUAACUUCAUCAAAUCAUUCAACCCGAUUACUCAUUCCCGUUAUCCUCACUUUCUGUCCCUAAAGCAUCUAAUUCAAGGGACCUAGCCUAAGGAUCAUCAUCGGGAAGACAAUACUGCUUAGGGGAUUCCUCAACAAUAUAUGUAUGUAAGGCAACCAUGAGGGGGAUGGAGUACACAGGUGAACACAUCGUUCACAAACACCUACAGGUUGCGAGCCUAACAACGUUCCACUAGACUGUCUAGAAUAGUCCGUGGUUGUCAUCUAUACUCCGAUAGAUGACUAAGUCAGCUUAAACAUCGAUGUCUCUCGUCAUUUUAUUUCAUUGCUCAUCAUCUAUUUCAUCUACCCAUCUUUCCCCACAUAUUCAUAGAUAUAAAAUGUAUAUACAAUUUAAAUCAAAUAAAACAUGUAUAUUUUGUUCAUCCAACGUAGAUAUCAAGAACACAUAUAAUAUGCACACAUAGCACGUAAUUUAUAUUAAAUACUUCAUAUCUAUGUGUAAGUUGAAAGUAACUAUGCACACACUUGUUAAAGUGAUGAUUCCAAACUCGGGCAACGCUUCGCUUCUAACAAUUCUAUUUUUUCUUCGAUGAAACCUAGUAUUAUUACCACUAGAUUUUAGUCUAAUAUUUAUUGCGACUGUUUUUGAGCGAUAUUGUUUUAUAAGUGUUAAACAAUAUUUUUCAACUACUAUGUAUAGACAGGGGCCAUACAUGAAACACCGGAGGGAAGGACCAUUUUGGCAUUAUAGCUGUUCUGAAAUCCAACAAACCUAUGCUGCCCUUCAAAUCAGAUUCCCCAUAUCGCGAGUAGUUAAAAGAUAUUAUACUAACACUUUAUAUAUUUUAUAAUAUUACAUAUAUUGUUUAUAGGUUCAUAAUAAAGAUAACAAACUCAAACAUAGGCUAUACUUAAAGUAGGGUAAGCAUAACUUACUUAUGGGGGUUUGGCUAGGAACCAGGCUCUAUCGGGGGAAAAACUUCUGAGCCUAAAGCUCUUCUUCUUGGAGCCUUCUGGCGCUCCAGGACUCGCGUCUAGCACUUAGGAAGUACUAGGGAAGGGGAGAGAGAGUUUGGGAGUAUGGAGAGAGAAAGAAUGGGAAAGGUGUGAAGAAAUAGGGUGAAUUACGCUUCUAUUUAUAGGUUGAAAAUGGCCAAAAUAGCGUGUUCUAAGCCCCAACACGUCGUGUUGAGGUGUCAAGUGUCACCAUCUGGUGGCAAGACAUAGGGAAGAUGCAGAUCGCGCCAUGUGUCACUCGCAGAUUACCCCAAAAACUAAUUAUCUUCUAAAAUCCGUAACUUUUGCAUACGAGCUCUGUUUUUGAAGUUAUUUAUAUACAUGUGUAGGUAUUGACAAGAUCUACAACUCUCAUUUUGACUCCAUCGGCUAAUUCUUGACCAAUUUUAGUUUUAAUAGUAUGAGAAAUUACGUUGUUAUGUAAAAUUCAUAACUUCUACAUACGAACUUCGUUUUCGACUGUAUUUUUAUCGUUGAACUCCUAUUAAUGAGAUCUUCAAUUCUCAUUUAGGUUGUGUCCGCAAAAAAUUGAUUGAUCUAAAAUUCGAUUUCCGGGCUGUACACUGUUAUGUUAAAUCUUAGAAAAAUCAUAACUUCUUCAUACGAAGUCAGAUUUAGAUGUCAUUUUUAUGUCCCCUCUCGGUUUAAUGUAUAAUACGAUUUCGUUUAGAUUACUAAGGGUAAAAAUUAUUUUAUCGCAAACUCACUUUCUACGAUACACAGUGUCAUGCCGGUUUAGUCGUAAAACUUCGACGGGUCAUAACUUCUUUGUUAUAAGUCGGAUUUCAAUGUUCCUUAUAUCCCCGAAAUCCUUGUUGUGAAUACUUCAACUUUCUUCAUAGAUAUUGGGUCUAUCUAUUAUUUUAUUUUUGGCGCAUAUUUUUAUUAUUAAUUUAUUACAUCGUUAUAAGUACGUAUUUUGCAAAAAAAAAUCACAUAAUACUCAAAUAAUUCUUCUUCAUUACUUCAAAAUAGGUUACAAUUAUAACAUCUAUAAAAUUCAUAAAAAUUUAAAACUUUUUCAAGCAUCCAAAAACCAUUAUUUAUUACAAAAUGUUUUCAAAAUAGUUUUAGAGAAUCCCAGAAUUUAAAGUCAUAAAAUGUGAGUAGGUGCACGAUCAAGUCUUCGCCUUCCUGCUAUCAUCCAAAGUACCUGAAAUAUAAUCCAAAACUGUAAGCCCAAAGCUUAGUGAGUUUCUCAAAAAUACCAACACUAUACAACCAGAACAAUAUCAUAACAAACAACAUGCAUAUAAAGUCUACAGUAUUACUGGAUCACCCUCAUCGGGCCUUCAGUCUGUCUGGCCCACUCUCAGAACCUUCAGCAUGUCUGGUCCGCCUUACCGGGCCUUCAGCUUGUCUGGACCGUUCUCCGGGCCUUCAGCCUGAUUGGUACGCCCCAUUGGGCCUUCAGUCUAUCCGGGUCGCCCUGGUUAUGUUGGCCUAGGGCAUAAAGCAGGACCGCAUCAACCCAUCCCCAAACAUACAAUCAACACAUAAAUAUCAAACGCUAGCUAGCAUGUACAAACAAUCAGACAGAUCUAACAUAUCACUAAUCAUAGCAUCAUCCUAUAUACCAGGAUACCAACCUAACGGGUCACUAACAUAACAUCAUCCUAUAUACCAGGAUACAGAUCUAACAGAUCACCAAGCAUAUCAUCAUGCGAUAACCAGGAUAACUUUCCAAAAAGGGUCGGCAUUGGUGCCUUCGACCCUGUUAGUAUAAUGAGGAAAACUCACCUGACAAGUAGUGCUGUAGUGACAAUAUCCAACUCCAAAUCAUAGCUCCGAACUCAACCGCCUGUAACCACCAUAUGACUAAUUCUAUCAAAAUCCCAAAUUACCAAAAUACCCUCAGUAGUCAAACUUGGUCAGCCGUUGGUCAAAGUCAAAGUCAAACUCAACGGUCAAGGUCAACAGUCCAUGUUGACCUAACUCGUCUAGUGCAGCUUACUGACUCGUCGAGUUCCUCCAGAACUCAGAAACUGUGAAAACUCGAGUCAACUCGCCGAGUUGCCAAGCAACUCGUCUAGUCCAUGUAGUAUUUAGAAGAUUGGGAAAACCUUAACCAACUCCUUGAGUUAUCUCACUAACCCGCCGAGUUCACUUAGAAUCCAGAAAGCGGGAAAACCCUUAUCCAACUCGUCGAGUUGGCUAAGCAACUCGUCAAGUUCCUUUAGCCCUUUUCUUAUUCAGACGCUUUUAAGUGAAAUCAAGGCUCCAUAUUGUAGAUCUAGCCCCCUAGGGUGUAGUUACCACGUAAAGCUGCUAACUUUACGUGCAUGUAAGGCAUCAAGAGGCUAAAACACCCAAAACUAAGCUUAGGAAGAGGUUUAGGGCAUGGAGAAGGGCCAAGAGUAGAUAAAUUCGACCACUUUAUAUCGAUGGGGCCUAGAGGAGUCUAAAUAUGAGACCAUGUCCUCAUGACAAGCUCAAAACCGAGAGUGACUCCAUUUUGCACUAGAAAUAACCAUAUUCCUGCAUAAGGGAAGAUAUAAGAAAUAAGAGGUCAAGGUAAAGACUUUUUACCUCAAAUUGGAUGCCAAAACCAAGUAGAUGUUGAAUCUACUACUUCUCCAUUUACUAUAACCUCUUCAAACUUCAAAACCCUUCCAAAAGAGCACAAAAAUGACAUUCUAAGCUCACACACACAAGGAAGUAGUAAAGCACGACUAGGAUUUCCUUCUCUGGGAAAUGAGGUGAUAAGGGAGGCUAAAGAAUGUAGGUAAUAGGGUGUAAACCCUAAAAAUUAGGGUUUUCCCAUUCAGCUCCAACUCAUCGAGUAGGUUCCAAAAUCCAUGCGGCUUUAUUAGUUUCUACACGAUGAGUUGGGGCCUCAACCUCGUUGAGUAGGUCUUAUGUAAUGAGCAAAAUCCAUAAAAUUUCAUACCUGGGAUUCGGGAUGUUACAACAAUUAUUGACCCUAACUAUUACAUCGUUAUAAUAAUGCUUAGCCUAGAAACGCAGGCGUCACAGUCAUAUUGGGCCCUUCCCUUUCGAAUUGGAAGUACCUGAAACAUAAACUGAAAACCGUAAGUACAAAGCUUAGUGAUUUCCCCAAAAUACCACAUACCAUACAUACAUUUGCCAUGGGCUUCCCCCAUGGUCUUUUCCCUGAAAUUCCAUGGGCUACCCCCAUGGUCUUGUUGGAUUAGUGUCUAAGUCCAUAACUAUAUUUGGUAUGUACUUGACCCGAUUGGCAUGGUACAUUUGGGUUGCAUGGCAUCAUGCAUUCGGAUAGAAUAAAAUGAGAGAAAUAACACUUAAGGUUUAUUAAUAUAUUAUAAGUUCUAAUAUAUUAAUAAGAUUAUUUAAUUACUAUUGAUCAAGAAUUAAUUUAGAAUUAAUUAAGUGAUCAAAAGGAGACUAAUUAAAUAUAUGGGUUGAUUGUUUAAAUCAUCCAUACUUGUAUAGUGGGCUAAUGCUCCAUGGAUUAUCAAGUUGGGAUAAAAACCAUAGGAUGCUCCAUGGUGUUUUUGUACCCAUGGAUCAUGGAAAUGAAAGGCCACGACAAUUAGGGUUUACAUGGUGUAACCCUAAUUGUGACACACUCUGUAAGCAUCUUAUUCUUCCCAAAAAUCGGUCACUAUGAAGGAAUGGUGAGUGCUAGCCGAUUUCAUGAAGUGUCUCAUUUCUCUCAAGUUAUUCUAAGUGUAUUUGGUGUUGUGUGAACCAUUUGAGGUGUCACACUUGGGGCACUAGGCUCUUAAGCUCCAUGGAAUCAAGCUACAUCAAAAGCUAUGUCUUCUAACUUAUAUUAUUCCAUAUGAAUCAAUGUUUUGUAUGCUAGUUAGGAUAAUACCUUGGAAUAUUUAUAUUUGCAUGUAUAAUAGAGAAAAAAUAGAUCCAAGGUAUUUAGGGUUGCAUGUACACUUAGGAGUGUUAGAAUGCUCAAAACCCAAUAGUGGUGUCAGAGCCUGGUUGUUUUCUAGUUAUACUUGCAAAAUUGGAUGAAAAAUCAAAGUUUGUUGCUGUCUGCUCAGCAGACUCGCCGAGUCCAUGAAGGGACACGAAGAGUCCAUGGCUAAAAUCAUCCAAAUUGCCGAUUUGGUUCAUGCACUCGACGAGUUGGACCCCCAGAGAGCAUAUCUUCGACUGUUUUGGCUGGAAUUGGACUAGGAACAUUACCCUAAGCUGUCUUUCAACUUAUAAACCUGUUUUUGAUGUGGUAAUGUUCAUGCUAAUCCAAUUUCAAAGAUAAUUGUCAAUAGAUUCAUGUUUUGUGUUAGUUUAAAGGUUAGGCUAAUUACAUGAAAAAUUUUGAUUGAAUUAUCUUGUUCUUAUGAGUUGCUUAGAUUAAUAGAAAAGUUAUUUGAAAUUGUUGUUUUCAAUCCAAGUUAAUCUAAGAGUUGGUUCUAAAAUGUGUUUUUGUAACUUGUCCUCAAGUUAUAUGAAAAGUCACAUUUAAGAUUCAUAAAACUCAUAAAUAUUUCCAUAGGUUAUGAAUAAAGAAAAGUCAUAUUCUUUUAAUAGUUUAAAGUCUUCCAUAACUUGUCCUCAAGUUAUGGAACUUGAAGAGUUUUUUGAAUUAAAACUACUUUAAACACAUAAGUUAUGGAAUUGAAUAGUUUUGAAUAGUUUCAAAACUUGCCCUCAAGUUUUGGAAUUUGUAAAGUUUUCCCUUAUGAAUACUUUAAUUCCAAGUUAAGACCUUAGAAUUUUAAAAGUUAAAAUUCAACCCUUAUACUUUAUCGUAUUAUAAGUUAAUAAUAUAUACAUAUAUAUAUAUAUAUAUAUGUGUGUGUGUGUGUGUGUGUGUGUGUGUAUAAGAGANNNNNNNNNNNNNNNNNNNNNNNNNNNNNNNNNNNNNNNNNNNNNNNNNNNNNNNNNNNNNNNNNNNNNNNNNNNNNNNNNNNNNNNNNNNNNNNNNNNNNNNNNNNNNNNNNNNNNNNNNNNNNNNNNNNNNNNNNNNNNNNNNNNNNNNNNNNNNNNNNNNNNNNNNNNNNNNNNNNNNNNNNNNNNNNNNNNNNNNNNNNNNNNNNNNNNNNNNNNNNNNNNNNNNNNNNNNNNNNNNNNNNNNNNNNNNNNNNNNNNNNNNNNUCCACUCUCACCCACCGCUUCUUUGACUGGUGGAGGGUCGUUAGCCGAACGGGUAGGACAAGGACUAUAAUUCUCCCUUCAUUAAAAGUAUUAAUGAUAAAUACUAAGUAACUAAACUUUUAUAAAUUCCCAAUCUUAGUUACUUAGGAAAAUGUGAAUUUGGUGCUAACCCAUGAAAUUACACUUUGCACUUUGCUUAAGUCGUUAGUGGAGCGCGUGUGGGUAACCGGCACACUAACCUGGAUUUAGCAAGGUAGGCAAAGGGUAACUUAAUGUUUAUCAUAGUAUCGGUGGAGCGCGUGUGGUUAACCGACACAUCGAUUGAGGGGUAAAUAUUAAGGGUACCAAGUAUAUUUGCAUGGUUAUUCACACCUUGUUUAGUGAUCCUCGGCAUCCCAGUCACAAAAUUUGAGAGGGCACAAUUGAGAUUGAAACAUGCCAUUGAAGAGUUCAAUGAAUCUCAAAAGAUCUAGGAGUUUCAAAUCAGAGUAAAACCUAAUUAAAUUAUUUUGUUUUCAUGGCGGAAACUGGUGAAUCAUCAUUCGCCUACCUUCAAAUAUUUUAUAGCUUGGAUUACUGCAUCCCUCUUCCAAGUUAUAAAAGUAUUGUGUUGGGUCCUAGCCUUAAUAUUUCAUAUUGGGUGUUAUAUUAAGUACUUUAGAUCAACUAUCUUGAAUACCUCCUAAAAGAUGUCCAGUUCAGACAUCUAUGAUCUUCCCAAAUCUCUUGGAACUUCACUUCAUCCACCUCCUCCAAUUAUUCUCCCUAACCCACAAGUUCAAGGUCACUCAAGCCCUAUUGGCAAGCAAAGUCUAUGUGUGAUCGCAUCUUGGAGAUGAAGUCACAUAUUGACAAGCCGGGAGAGUUGGGUGUCAAAGUCAUAAGAAAGUUGGAUGUUCAAUCACUUUCUAAGUCACAUAGUGAGUUCCUUUGGGACUACUAUGAAACAGACUAUGACAUGACCCUUAAUGAUCUUAUCUAUUUGCUUGGUGCUGCUGAAUCAGCAAUGAUUUGAGGACUAGUAAAGCAAAUUUGAUUAGGAGAUCAAAUUCCCAAUGGACAUUGACAACGAUAACACCUACCUUAUGUUUAGACGUAUUGGUUUCUUGGAUAUCUAGAAAAGUCUUUCUCUUCCCAAUGGAAAGGGAUCGGCCACAGUCAACUCGGUUGACCAAAUGGUAAAGAGAAAGGCUAAGUCUGAGGUAGUCCCAUGUACAAUUCCCAAAGAGUCCAUAUGUUUCUCUUGCCAAAGGAAGGGGCAUUGAUUGCGAAGCUGCCUAUUUACCUGAAAGAUCAUAAGGUUGAUCAAGUCAAGAAGUUUGACUCUACUUCAGGUAAAGUCAACUAUCUAACUCUGUGAAGUUUCUAUUCUGAGAUUCUUAUUACAUGAUUUGACUGGGUCACAUGUUGAUGUUUUAAGAAUCAACGAAAAGUGAAGAAACUUAAAGGAAGUAUAUGCUGAUUCUGAUUGCGAAGAUGGAUUUCGAUCGCAUGGUUCGGUGAUCAGAAUUUUGAGCUGUUGCUUAGGAGUUAUGAUAUAUUUCUUAGGAAUAGAUAACAACAAGCUUUUCAUAUGCUUUUGCGCUGUAAGGAUAAGUUUUUCUGCAAAGUUUUAAAAUAAAAGGAAAAUUUUUGAUUUUAUUUAUUCUAAGUAUCCUUACAAUGACAUUUGUGAAAAAUUGUUUCUUAUAUGAUUCCAUUGAUAGCAAUGUUGGAAAAUGGAUUUGUUUCUUUCAAUUGUGGUAAUGUCUAAUUUACCAAAUAAGGAAAGAUUCUCAUAACCCAAGUUUUAAUUGGACCGAAACUUGGAAUCAUGCAAGUUGUAUAGUAUGAUGAAUGAGAAUUUUCACCUUUGGAAAAUUAAGACUAAUUCCUUGUUCACAUGUAUAUGUGAGUCAAGUAAAGGACUAAGGGAUCGAGUACACAUUCUUGUGCACUGAUCAAGUCCACCACAAAGAUCGUUAAGACUAUUCGUCAUGAUUUACUAAAGUUUAGUACAUAUGGUUUUACUUACCAGAUUAAGUAUAAUACUGAAACAUUGGAAAAGUUUUGAUGUAUGGCAGAACAAAUGAGAAGAAUCAAAUUAGGAAGAAAGAUAAAAGUUUCUCAAAAAUGAAAAGAUGGGAGAGUACUUUAGUAUCAUGUUUUGUGAUCAUCUUAAUGAUUAAGAAACCAUAUCACAAUUGGUUCUCUAAGGAAAUCUUAGUGCAUUCUUAUGACUAAGAAGAGGAACUUGAAUUGUUGAAAUGGUUAAAUCAAGAAGAUGAGUCAUACUUCGUUCCAAUACAAGUCUUAGAGUCAUACUCCAAGAUUGUAACUUGAGUGACAUGUCUUNAACACUUGUCAAAUGUAAGAGCAAAAUGUUUUCUACUCUUGUAAAUUUGAAAUUGGUAAGUUGUGAUGUUUUGGAUAAAACAAAGACCAACUAAGGCCAAUUGUGUGAAGUGUUUGUCUUGAUAAAGAAUCCACACUAUCUCUUGAAUAUUUGGCAAGAUAGUCAUAUAUGUCAAGAGGACAGUGGGAGUCUUAAAGAUCUUGAAAGAAUUUCAAGAUCUAAUCAAGAAUAAAAACUUAUAGUUUGACACUAGCAAACGACGUGAGGUUUAUAACCUAUCGUGUUGAUAUAUUUCUAUUUUUGUGCCCAUUCCAGUUAAAUUUUGGCUUUGUAUAUGAGUUCCGAGAGUUCUCAAUUGGUUGUAUAACAACUUGGAAGAAAUGGCAGGUCCUUGUGCUGCCAGGUGGCAAUAAAUUAAGAUUGAGUUCAGUCCAUAUGAGUUUGGAUUUGUCAUUAUCAUGUCUUGUGAUUAUGGUGGAUAAGAACACAUACACCAUAAAAUCUAAGUGUCAUAACGUUUCUCUCCGAUUCAUGAAAAUGAUGGUGAGGAAACACUUUCACUAAGUAGAUUUUAAGUAGAUAAACAUUGUGAUAUUUGCAUUCUCAAAGUCGUUAGUGGAGCGUGUGUGGUUAACCGGCACACUAACAUGGACUUGUGAGAAAUGGAAAAGUUCUAAACAAUUGAGACUAUGAUUACGACAUCCCUUUUCAUAGUUCUAAAAGUUGUUUAGACACACAUGUGAGCUAUCUAAGGAAAGGUGUGUGAUUUUGAUAAAGUCUUAUCAAAACAUCUCAUAUCAGAAAUCUGAACUUUGGUAAGAAAGUCAAUAAAGUAUUGAUUUCUAGAGUUCAGCUGAUUUCUGAGUACAUGUCAAAGCUAGUGGGAGCAUAAGUGUUAUGCUAAUAAUCAUCAUGUUAGUGGGAGCAUGAUAAUUAUUAUUAGUAUUGCAAGAUAGCAAUGUUAAUUAUAGAAAACAAAAGUUUCAAUUCGUGAAGUUGUAGGGGUUGAAAAGUUUUUUGCUAUAAGUAAGGGAGAUGAAAUUAUACUUCAUUUCAAUUCUAAAAGCUUAGAUUGAGCUUUUAAUCAUCUUUAGUCAAGGAUAUAUAUGAAUUUUGUGUUGGAAUGGCUCAACAUAAGGAAAUUCUAUAUAUGGGUCCAUUAUUUGCGUUCUAAAAUUCGAUUAUGAUUACGACAUCCCUUUUCAUAAUUUGAAUUAUGAGAACUUGGCAAAUAGAAAUAUUGUAGCAAAAGGACCGGUCUAGUAUCAUGUCUUUAUGUGAGACAUCAUGAAUCUUGUCCCAUAUGCUUCGGAUAUAGGAUCGAUUACAUGUGCUAUAAUAUUCAUCAUUUCUAAAAUUUUCCAAAUGCAUGGGGCAUUAAGAAGGGAAAAGGUCUAGAAUUGGAUAUGACUAAAAUGAUUAAGCAAUUGUCGAGGACAAUCUAAGGUUUACCAAAGAUUGGUCGCUUAGGGACAGUUGGAAGUAUAAUGUUAACUUUGGAAGGACCAUAUUGACAUUUUCUGAAAAGAGGCAACUCUUGUUCAGAAGUGAUAGUCAAAAUGGGAAUAUGGAAAUGUUUCCAUAGGUGGAAGUUAUUCAAUUUGUGUAAUAUUAGAAAAACUUAAUACAAGAAGGAUGAUUCCAUGGAGUUGAUCUCCAUUGGAAUACUCUGUAAUGUCUGUUGACAAGUCAUUGCGACUUUGUGCAUAAUCAUUACAAGAGGAUCAAUGCAUAUAAGUUUAAAAUCUAACAAUAUUUCGGUAAAUGGCAUGAAUAUAGAAUUCUUGCAUUUGCGGUAAGGAUUUGGGACUGUGAAAUGAGAAUCAUUAGAAUUAUGUUCAAUCGAUCUAUUUCAAAAAGUAAAGAUCAUAGACAAACUUAGUAUGCAUACUUGGUGUAUGACAUAACUAAUGUUUAGACAAAUAUAGUGUGCAUACUUGGUGUAUGGCAUGACUGGUGUUUAGAAAAUAUAGUGUACAUGCUUGGAGCAUGGGACAACUAUUAUUUUAAUUCAAGUAUAAAGUUGAUAGUUUGAAACAGUAUGCAAUGAAUAAUGUGUAAUCAAUAUGGUGAUAAAUAAAAGGUGUUUUAUUUAUAUUCAUAAGUCUUGAGACCAUAUUGGAUUUGAUUAUUCUUGUGUUUCACUUUGCAUAUUUUGACUUCCAGAAUAACUAGGCCGUUCUUCCUGAAUGACUAAGUUAUUCAAACUAUCCACAAUCGGUCAUUUGUUGGAAGUAGAUAUGAAUCAAGACUGUCAUGAAACUAGAUUGUAGAUGUCCAAGGUAUGGGACAUAGCAAGUGGUGCUACAACAUUCAUGAGUACUCAUAAGUUCUGAGUAUUUGAUUCAACCCAUGCUCAUUGGAAUCACUUUAUGGAUUUUAUCAUGAGUGAUCAUGAGACGAGAAUUUCUUAUAUUCUUGAAACCAAGAGAUACGACUUGUUGCCUAUGAGUUGGUUAUACAUUGAUUGCACGAAAACACAUUUGGUAACUCGGUGUUAUAAAAUGUGCCUUUGUGUAUGAUUCAAUAAGUAGUAGAAUAAGCAUAUGAGUCGAUGUUUAUCCAUUCCUUUUACCCUUAAAGGUAUAAAAGUGAUAUCUGUGGGCCCCUCGAUGAUUUAGUGAUGACACCCCGAAGUGCUUGGCCAAUCCAAGACUGAUUUGAUUUGUUCAAUUAGUCGGUCGUCAUAAACCAGAAAUCGGGAAACAACAAAUGGACAGAGAGAAUGAUUUUAAUCCACGUCUCAAUCCAUAUGAUAUCUAGAAUGGAGGAAUAUAUGAUCCCUUAUCUGAUGGACGCGUCAUUGAUAUGUUCAGAGUUCGACAUCAGCAACUCUUAAGAGCUAUGAUUGCUAGUCGGGUUUUGAAGUCAUACACAAUAAUACUUUUAGACUUAUCCAAGUGGGAGACUGUUGGAGUAGUGUCUAAGUCCAUAACUAUAUUUGGUAUGUACUUGACCCGAUUGGCAUGGUCCAUUUGGGUUGCAUGGCAUCAUGCAUUUGGAUAGACUAAAAUGAGAGAAGUAACACUUAAGGUUUAUUAAUAUAUUAUAAGUUCUAAUAUAUUAAUAAGAUUAUUUAAUUACUAUUGAUCAAGAAUUAAUUUGGAAUUAAUUAAGUGAUCAAAAGGAGACUAAUUAAAUAUAUGGGUUGAUUGUGUAAAUCAUCCAUACUUGUAUAGUGGGCUAAUGCUCCAUGGAUGCUCCAUGGUGUUUUUGUACCCAUGUAUCAUGGAAAUGAAAGGCCAUGACAAUUAGGGUUUACAUGGUGCAACCCUAAUUGUGAAACACUAUAUAAGCAUCUUAUUCUUCCCAAAAAUCGGUCACUAUGAAGGAAUGGUGAGGGCUAGUCGAUUUCAUGAAGUGUCUCAUUUCUCUCUAGUUAUUCUAAGUGUAUUUGGUGUUGUGUGAACCAUUUGAGGUGUCACACUUGGGGCACUAGGCUUUUAAGCUCCAUGGAAUCAAGCUACAUCAAAAGGUAUGUCUUCUAACUUAUAUUAUUGCAUAUGAAUCAAUGUUUUGUAUGCUAGUUAGGAUAAUACCUUGGAAUAUUUAUAUUUGCAUGUAUAAUAGAGAAAACAUAGAUCCAAGGUAUUUAGGGUUGCAUGUACACUUAGGAGUGUUAGAAUGCUCAAAACCCAACAGGUCUGACAUCCAAGUGUCAUGGGCUACCCCCAUGGUCUUUCCUUGAAAUGUCAUGGGAUGCCCCCAUGGUUAACAUCCAAGUGACAUGGGCUACCCCUGUGGUUUUUCCUUGAAAUGCCAUGGGCUACCCCAUGGUCUAACAUCCAAGUGCCAUGGGCUAUCCCCAUGGUCUUUCAUUGAAAUGUCAUGGGUUACCCCCAUGGUCUUUCAUACAAAUGCCAUGGGCUACCCCGGGGGUCUUCCUUGCAAGUAUCACAAAGAAAACUAGCACCCUACAUAGUAUAGUGAGAAGACUCACCUCUACUGAUGAUAAUUGAAACAACACUGGAUAUGUGGCGAACACUGCUCCUUACGCUAAACAAAAACCAGAAAUAAACCCAAUCACUAAUUAGGGUUUAACCUAAACCCCUGGUCUAGUCCAUUCCUCAUCAUGGUGAGGGAAAAACACCAUUUUCCCCUUUAUAUACAAGCCCAACUAAACUAAGCCCAAAAGCCCCAAUGGCCCGAGGCCCAAAAUCGAUCCAUUAGGCUUUUACUGAGAACGCCUAGCGUUCCACCCUAUGACGCCUAGAGUCCAAACGUUGGGCGUUCCCAUGAAAACACCAAGCAUUUGCUAGCUGAUUACCAACUUCCAAAACAAUGUCUUAAUGGCUUAAGAUCUCAUGUCCAAACUUCACAUCUAAUCAUAAUGGAACGUCUAAAGCCAUAAAGUUGCAAACUUUAUGGCCAUGCAUGGCUACAAUAAGCCCAACACCAAGAUCCUAACUCAAAAUCACUAUAAGGCUCCAAAACUCUUGCAUGGAAGAUUAUGAAGACCUAAUAUUACAUUUUUAUGAUUCUAGACUCAAUAUUAUGCUUGAAAGGACAGUCCAAACCUCUGGAGCAUUCCAAACUCAUAAAGAUCAAUUCUUUGGGACCAAAAAGAAGAUAAACUAGGCCUAAUUCAAGAUCUAACGAAUGAGACAUCAAGAUCUGAACUUUAUACCUCAAAAUGAUGCUCCAAGAUGUCAAGAGUCCAUAUCCACAAGCUAGGGAGCAACCAUAAUACUCCAAAGAUCUUCCUUCUCUUAUCAAGAAUACUAAAUGAUACCAAAAAGAUGAACCAAGGCUUCAAACUCUCAUACACACUUAGGGUUUUCGAAAUGAGGAUAGAGGCUGGAGUGGUGAAGGGUUUUGAGGCCAUAAUGUUCUUUAGAUAGGGUGCAAACCCUAAAAAUUAGGCUUUGGUCUCUGUGUGCAAACACCUAGCGUCCAUCAUAGAACGUCUAGCGUCUUAUGCCAAACGCCUGGCGUUUGGACCAAAGUCCCAAAAACUAACACAACAAGAUUAAAAGUGUAAAUACAUGGAAACCAUGGUGUUACAAAUCUCCCUUGGUUUAUUGGUCCCUUUAGGAUUAUCGCCCACUUUCUUUCCAAAAAUCCAACCUUUUGACUCUCUGAAAUUUUAAUUCGGUUCGACCAAGAAAACGGGCGUUACAAUGAAGAAAUUCAAAGUUGGAAUGAUGAGCUCUUGAUGACGUAGAUGUGAUGUGAGAAGUGGUAAAAAGUUAAAAAAAGGAUUAUGUAACGCUUGUUAGAGUAUGUUCCUUAUUUUCCCUUUUAUCUUUAAUUUGUUGCAUUAUUGGUCCUUAGAGUAGUACACAGGGCGCACCACGUGGUACACUUAACAUACUAAGGAGGGAAGUGAUUGCGGGUUCGAAGCCUCGUACACUGGGUGUGCAAGGGUUAUGCAUGGCGUAACACAUGGAUAAGAAAACCCUUAUUUUAGGGUGUUGAACCCUAUAUAUGGUCCUUAAGUCCCUAGGGCUGGCCUCUUCACCAGCCUCCAUUUCCCUAAAAUCCUAAAUCUCGACCCUUAGCCUCCAUUGUUGUGUCUUUGAGCUCUCGAGAAGAAGUUGAUGCAUAUUUUGCUCAUUUUGAAGGGAUUGAAGAAGUUGAAGGUGCUUUGCUUAGUGUGAAGCUUAGAGAUCCAUAAUCAUCACUCGUUUUGCAAGUCUUUUUGAGGUAUAAAGUUCAUACAUUGUCUUCUUCUUGCUUAGAUCUCUUCAUGUCUUGGUUUUUUAUGCUUUUGGUCCCUUUUGGGUUAGUUUGAGGGGUUAAGUCGUUUGUGGGGAUUAUUCUUUUAGAUCUGAGCAUAUUGUGAGUUUCUUAAGCUUAAAGGUGCAAACUUUAUGGUGUUUAUGGCCUCAUGCAUGAAUUAAGUCAUCUAUUAUGUCCUUUUGAGCUUUAAGAGCUUCAUUAAGCCAUGCAUGCACAUAAAGAUGGCAUUUAUAUGUGAUAAACCAACCCAAAGAAGUCAGAUCUAAGUUGUGGAGUGAUGUAUUAAUUAGUUAUGAGCUGGAAAUGGAAGAUGGUUGAAUAAGAGAGUACGCUGGGCGUACAAGUAGGUACGAUUAGCGUACAAGCCCUAAGGCAAGUACGCUGCACGUAUGAGUUGAGUACGCCCCGCGUAGUCAGUAGAGUGGGCCUUGGAUUAUUGGGUUGUAACAACCUAAAAACACAGUCUGAAAGUUUCGUUUAAUCUAAUAAUAAAAACCAUAGUCGAUAAACCUCAUAUAAAAGUCAUAAGCAAUGUAUCUCAAAAUAUUAUAACAACUGUCAAGUAUAUUAGAGUAUAAACAUCCCAGGUUGAACAAAUGGUGUGUGCACUGCAAUCUUCCCGAGCUCCUCUUUUGAAAACUGAGUACCUGAAACCAAAAAUGUAAACUGUAAGCACGAAGCUUAGUGAGUCUCCCCCAACUACGACAUACCAUAUAAUAACGUAUAAAGCACAUACUGGGCCUUGCCCACUGCAUCGGAUCAAAGUCUGGACUAACCGGGGCCUUGCCCCCUGCAUUGGACCGAAGUCCGGAAACUGCAUCGGGCCGAAGCCCAGACUAACUAGGGCCUUGCCCCCUACAUCGGACCGAAGUCAGGCUAACUGCAUCGGACCGAAGUCCGGACUAACUGGGACCUUGCCCCCUGCAUCGGACCGAAGUCCGGAAACUGACUGAGCAUAACAUAUCAACUAGCAUAAGCACAUAUACUGCAUACUGCAUCAGACCGAAGUUCGGAACACAUAGCACAAAGACAUGCUUGAAUCACAAAGACAUCAAGCACACUAAACUACUGCAUCGGACCGGAGUCCGGAUCUACUGCUAACUAGACGGGUUGACAUUGUGGCCGUAGACCCAUUCCUACUGGAAGGAAAACUCACCUGGACUGCUGAACUCGGCCGAUAACCCUUUGGCUGCUAUCCGACGACUCUCCGAAAUGCUGCUCCUCUAGCUCCCUGAGCUUCAAUACCAACAAUAACACUUAGCCUAAGCUGAACUCUAGAAGUCAAACUAAGUCAACUCUAGUCAAAGUCAACCUUCCAGUUGACUCUACUCGCCGUGUCAACCUGUAAACUCGCCGUGUUCUUAAACUCAUAAUCCUUCAAAAUACCACUCAACUCACCGAGUCACCCCAAGACUCGUCGAGUUCAACGAUCUCUGAGUCCCAUCCGGACCAAACCCACCGAGUCACCACUCAACUCACUGAUCUGCGUCUUAACCAGAGAAGAUUAGGGUUCUGCGACCAGACUCGCCGAGUUCAAGAACAGACUCGUCGAGUCCAAUGUAAUCUUCAACAGACUCGCCGAGAUGUUCUUCCAACUCGUCGAGUUCCUGCCCAUCUUCAUACAACUCGCCGAGUCCACCCAUGUGACUCGCCGAGUCGCUUUAGUUCUUAAUCAAUAUAGUGACUUUUAGAGCCAUGCAGGGGCUCCAAACUGUAGAUCCACACUUCUAAGGCCCACCCUUCACGUAAAGUUGCAAACUUUACGUGAAACCAAGGAGUUAUAGGCUUGAAAUACUUUAGGGCUAGGGUUUGAGACAAACAUGCUUCACCAAUGCACCAAAGACUGAUACUUUAUGGGUUUUUAGGCCAAGACAAACCUAGAUAUGAAGUUCUCUUUGCUCACCAAGGAACAAUACACGAAUUGGCCUUGGAAAUGGCCCGAAAAUGAUAAAAUCUAACUAGGAAAGGGGAUCUAAAUGAAUAACAGCCAAGGUAUGAGCUUCAUACCUUCAAAUGAUCUGAAAUAUCACACCAACUCAGAAUCUACUGCCAAUUCUUGAAUCACCAAAGGUUCCUUUCUUCAUUCUAGCUUCAAAGCACCCAAAAAUGGCAAAGAAAGCUUGAGAGCACUAUAAUGGAGGCUUAGGGUUUCGAGAGUAGGUAAAGGGAGUGAUGGAGGCUGGGAUGGAGGCCUGAAAUGAUGCUUAAAUAGGGUACCAAGUCCGGAAAUUAGGGUUUCCCAACCCAGACCAGACUCGCCGAGUCAGUCUCCCCGACUCGCCGAGUCGGUCACUUAAUCCGCGAUACUGGUCAUGCUCCGAAUCGUCGAGUUCCUCCUUGGACUCGAUGAGUUGACUCCUUUAACUUAGGGCUUUUCUUUCUUUUCCCGGUCUUCCUGAUUCUGGGUGUUACAUGGGUCUUCGAUUUGGGCCAUAUUUUGGGCUUUGUUCGGCCAUUUGAAUUCAUGUUUUUUGGGCUAGGAAUAUUUUGGACCUUGGAUUAAGGCCCAUGAAAGGGGUUUGGGCCCAAUUUGGAAAAUUGGGGCAUGUUUGGGCCUUGGAUAAUUAUUUUGGUAUUUGGGCCUUUUAGAUUGUAGGUUUGGGCCUUAGUCUUAGACCAAACCAGGUAAGGGGUAAAAUGGUAUUUUUACCCUAACUUUGGGCUGAUGGUUAUGGAUUGGAAUCAAAUUGUUAAUAGGAUGUUAUUUGGUAUUGAUAGCUCGGGGAUUUAUCGGACCAGCAACCAAAGAUUUAUUUGUGUGAUUCAGCAGUUCGAGGUGAGUUUCCUCACCGUGUUUAGUGUGGCGAAGGCACCAAUGCUGACCCCUGAUUUUGUUAUGUUAGGGUGCUUUAUGUUUGCGUGACUCCUGCAUGUGUUAUGUACUUGUAUGCUUACCAGGUGGGGCCCGAUGAUCAUUUUGUAUGCUAUGUAUCUUUGUGAUUAUUGCAUGUGUAUGUGUUUAUACGAUAUAUGUUUAUAUGUCUGUCGGGCGAGGCCUGAUCUGUAUACUGAGCGGGGCCCAAUGACAGGUGGGGCCCAAUAUGUGUUUAUUAUGUAUGUUAUGUGGUAUUUUGGGGAACCCACUAAGCUUUGUGCUUAUGGUUUUCAAUUUAUGUUUCAGGUACUUCCAGUUCCAAAGGGAAGGGCUCGGGAUGAUUGCAGGGCACACACUACCUCAUUCCGCAUUUUCUUGAUUUAAUCUGAUGUGAUACGCUGAUUGAUACAUUUUUUUUAUCUGGAUUUUUUAUGAUGAUGUUAUUUGGAUACUGGUUUUGUUAAUUUAAAAAUGAAACUUUUGGGUCUUAUUUUUGGGACGUUACAAGUUGUUAUCAGAGCAUUGGUUUGAGAGAUUCAGACAUACUAUCGGGUGUGUCUGAACUCAAACUAAGGAUUUGGUAAAGUUUUUCAAAAAUAAAUGUAUAUUUAAUAAAAGAGUUUUCCGUAAGCGAAGAAAGGGUGUGGUGCAUGCAAUCAACCGGUCUCAAGUAAGUUUUCCCAAAAUACCCAUACAUGUUAUCUGAUAUGAUUUGAUCUUUGAAUCGCAUGCUAGUUAGGGCUAAGGAUUUGCUCAAUUUUUGCAUGAUAGAAUGCUAAGAGAGAUGCCUUUGUAUUCCUAUUGACUAGUCAGUGAUAGGAUGGAUUGAUUAGGAGAGAUGUAUUUGUAUGCCUAUUGUAGACUUGCAUGCUAAUAUUGAUCAGUCAGUGAUAGGAUGGAUUGAUUAGGUGACGGUUGGUUUUGGUUACUUGAUGCUCAAAUGCUGCUCGCUUUAUGCUUUUAGGAGUUCUUACUAGCUUCAUCUAACUAGUAAGAAAAUAUGCUAAGUUACAUAUUAUGGGAACUAAAUAAUUUUAGAAGGUUAGAUUUUAACUCUAUUACACAACUCUUAUUUGAGUCCAACCGUUGUAGUGCGAGACCUUUAAUUCAAAUAAUUAUCUGGUCUUUAUGAUAUGUAAUUGUAUUCAUGAGCUAGUUAGAGGAUGUUAUCAGGAGUUCCUUCCACAGCUAAUGGCGGAGAGUGGUGUGGAGUUUACCCUAGGAAAAACCUAGGAUGAGAUAUAGUGUUGGGAGCCUUAUUUUGUUGAGGGUUAUUUGUAUGGAUAUACGGCGACUUGGCAGAUUCAAGGCAAUCCUUGAGGAAAGUACGGAUAGAUGUGGAAGGUAGUAUGGGCCUGUAAUACUGGAAGCAGAAGAUCUGUACUUGAGUCACGGAGGGUUGCAAAGAAACCAGGAAGCUUGUAAAUAUUGUGAUCCCUUGAUGGUUUAUAUGGUCUAUUUUUAGUAUGGUGACAUUGUGAGCAGACAUGUUGGCAGUUCUUGUGCUGGAGAGGGCUAAGGCUCAGGAUCAGGAGUCGGGCGGCUAGAUGAUCAGACUAGGGGGUUCAUCUCAUCUGAGAUUACACGUUGCAUUCUUGAGCCGACUCAUGUGAUCUUUGGCACGGUCAAGGAGGGUAUUCUGGAGAUUUUGGUUGAGCGCUUGAGCGCCUUUCGUUCUGAGAUGGUGGCCUUGGUGCAGGCGCGUUCAUUGACCUUCAGGGAGUUUCGAUAAUGUGGAGCUCCGAACUAUCACGGGGAAAAGGACCCAAUAGUGAGAAGGAGGUGGUUAGCGGAUGUUGCUAACGCCUUUCACACCAGCAGUUGCCCCGAGGAGAUAAAGGUCAGACUUGCCUCUUGCCUCCUGUCUUUUGAAGGAUAGUGCAUGAGAUUGGUGGGAGGAGGUCGGGCGCUUAGUGGUUAUUAGGAUGAUUCGAUGACAUGGGAUGAUUUUAUGACCAGGUUCAGGGCUGAGUUUGUACCGGUGAUUGAGGUGCAAAAGUUGGAGUGAGAGUUUUAGGAUCUCCGCCAGACUACUGAGAUGGGGGCCAAGAUCAUUGCGAUGUUCCGGGAGAGGGCACUUUUGGUUCCGCAGUAUGCGGCAGAUGAGGAGAUGAAGAAGGCUCGGUAUCAUUAGAUGUUGAGGAGUGAUAUUUGACAGUUUGUGACCGAUACAGCUGCAAGACGUUGGAGGAUAUGAUAAUGAGAUCUAGGAAGAGGGAGAUUGAUAUGGAUAUGGAGACGAAGAGGAAGCCAGAUUAUGUGCCGAGUGCUGAGGGUUCGGGCAAAAGGCCUAAGGUAUCUGAUUCCAGAUCGAGAGGCCAUCAGGUCCGUGGCCGUUGUGGCAAGUGCGGCAAGAUGCAGGAGGGAGCGUGCAGGGUGGUUGGUUUUGGAUGAUUCAAGUGUGGCCGGACUGGUCAUAUUAGCAAAGAUUGCACUGCUACCUCCACCACCACCCCGAUAUCUGAUCUGAUUUGCUUUCAUUGCAAUCAGUGGGGAUACAAGAAGGCCCAUUGUCCGAGUUUGGCUAUAGCAGGAUCGAUGUAAGCACCCACUAUUGCAACUCUUCGGAUUACUAAUGGCCGCCAGGGCCGGGUAGAUUCACUUGUGGUGAAGAGUUGGGCCUUUCAGAUGACAACCGAGGAGGCUCGCGCGACACCAGAUAUGGAGACAAGUAUGUAUCUUCUCCCUAUCUCUUUAUUUAUAUUGAUUUGCUUGCUUAUAUUUAUGUGUUUUAUUUUAGGAUCAUUCCUUGUGAACGGUGUUUCUGCAUUGGUAUUGUUUGAUUCGGGGGCUACCUGAUCUUUUGUAUCGCUUGCACUUAGCAACAGGUAUGCUGGAGCUCCGGGGGAGCUGAAUUGUCCUCUUGAUGUCAAGAUUGCUGAAGAUAGGUCUGUUCGAGUUGCGAGGGUUCAUCGAGGUUGUACUAUUUAGUUAUUCAAUGAGCAGCAUCCAAUCGAUUUGGUUCCCAUUCCUCUACGUGGGAACAAGGUUAUUAUGGGUAUGGAUUGGUUGAGCCCUAAUCGAGCAGUGAUCGAUUGUGAGUAAUAGUUAGUUCAGGUUUGGACUCCAAGUGGGGGAGAGUUAGUGGUUCAUAGGGAUAGAUCUCAGCGUGGGCCAAUUUUGUGUUCAGCAGCGAAGGCCAGACAGUAUUUUUAGUAGGGUUGUUCCAGUUAUAUCGACUAUGUUAUGGAUACCCAGGAUAAGGGAAAGGUGACUAUGGAUGAUGUGUCGAUUAUGCAUGAUUAACUGGAUGUGUUUCCAGAGGAUUUUCCCGGGGUGCCUCCAGAGAGGCAAGUUGAGUUCACGAUUGAUUUGGUUCCUGGUGCGACUCCGAUAGCCAAAGCACCGUAUCGGUUGGCUCCUCCCAAGAUGCAUGAGUUGAAAGGUUUUGAGCACUCUAACAACCUUAUGGUUCACAUGCAACCCUAGAUGCUUUGGAUCUAUGUUUUCUCUAAUUAUACAUGCAAUUUGAUUUUCUAAAGCAUUCAUCCUAACUAGCAUACAAUUGAACAAAAUAACUAGUUAGAUAACUUACCUCUUAAUAGGACUUGUAGUUCUUGGCCUUCAAAAGCAAUAACACCUCAAAUGUGAUGCCUCUAAUGUGUCAAAAACACCAAGUGCAAAAGGAGGCUUGAGAGAAUAAGUUACUUAGCACAAAAUCGAUUCACACUCUCCGAGAAUGUAUGUGGCAACCGAUUUCCAUUUAUAGUGUGACAAGUGCUAGGGUUACAUCCAUGCAAACCCUAAUGGACCAUGACUCUUCAUAUUACUUAGGCUCCAUGGGUUAACCUCCAUGGACUAUCCAUGUAGGUUUAGCCCAUCCUAAAUAACUAUGGAUCAUUGGCCCACACUAUAAGAAUCAUUGAUUUACCAAAUCAGUCCCCAUAUAUUUAAUUAGUCCCUUUUGAUCACUAAAUUAAUUCCAAAAAUUAAUUCUUGAUCAAUACUAAUUAAAUUAUAUGAUUUCAUAUUAAUAUAUUAUACUUGUAAUAUAUUAACAAAUCACAAAUAACCUUAUUCUCAAAAGUCCAUCCUAUCAAUUUGCAUUGAUGAAGGCAACCCAAAAGGACCAUGCUACUUUUGGGUCAAGUACAUACCAAUUAUAGUUAUGGGCUUAGACACCUAAUCCAACAGUCUCCCACUUGGAUAAGUCUAAUAACUAUAACUGCAAGUACGACUUAAAACCGACUAGCAAUCGUAGGUCUUAAAAGCCGCUGUCGAAAUCUGACCCAGUUAGUGACGCGUCCUUUAGACAAGGGAUCAUAUAAUCCUAUGUUCUUCAAGAUAUCAGCCGGACAAAUACAUGGAACAAUGUCAUACUUAUUGCCCAACAGUUUGUUUCUCGAUUUCCAAUUUGUUUGACAGAGAACAUAAUUGAACACAUCAAUUUAGUCUUGACCGGACCCAACACAUAAGUCAAAACAAAAUCAUCGAGGGACCCAUAAUAUCGCUUUUAAUCCUCCAAUAAUUAAAAGGAACAUAUAAACUUCGACAUUAUAUGCUUGUACUAACUAUUCAUCAAAUCAUACACAACAGUGGGUUUUAUAACAUAAGGUUACUGAUGCGUUUUCGCACUAUCAAUGUACAAGCAACUCAUAGUCAACAAAUCAUAUAUCUUGGUUUGAAGACUUAUAUGAUAUUAUCGUCUCACAAUCACUCGUGAUAAAUUCCAUGAAGUGAUUCAAGUGAGCGUGGGUUUAAUCCAAUACUCAGACCUUAUGAGCACUCAUGAAUUUUAUAAGUACUGCGUAGGUACUUAAGUCAUCACUCCCACCAAGAGUAAGGACCCUGUCCUUAGUCCUGCGUAGGUACUUAAGAAUGUUCUUUAUCGCAGUCCAGUGAGCCUUACCAGGAUUCCCUUGAUAUUUGUUGACCAUGCUUAAAGCAAAGGCCACAUCAUGGCGAGUACAAGUCAUAACAUACAUGAUCGAGCCAACCGUAGAAGCAUAUGGUACUCGACUCAUCUAAGCUAUUUCAGCCUCUGGACUCGGACUUUGAGUCUUACUCAGUUUGGUAUUGCCUUGGAUGGGUAAGUCACCUUUCUUGGAAUUCUCCAUGCUGAAUCGUUUCAAUACCUUGUCCAAGUAGGUACUUUGACUAAGUCGAAUUAGUCUUUUACUCCUGUUUCUCAAUAUCCUUAUCCCUAGGAUGUAAGAAGCUUCUCCAAGGUCCUUCAUAGCGAACCACUUCCCAAGCCAGGACUUAACCUUUUGCAAGGUUGGAAUGUCAUUUCCUAUGAGUAGUAUGUCAUCCACAUACAACACAUGUAAGCUAACUAUACUCCCACUAGCCUUGACAUACACACAAGACUCAUCCUUGCUUCUCAAAAAUCCAAACUCUUUGACUUUCUCAUCGAAACAAAGAUUCCAUCUGCGAGAUUCUUGUUUCAAUCCAUAAAUGGAUUCUCAAGCUUACACACUAUAUUAGGGUACUUUGCAUUGACAAAACCCUCUGGCUGACUCAUGUAAACAUCUUAAGCCAACUUCCCAUAAAGGAAAGCGGUUUUGACAUCCAUUUGCCAUAUUUCAUAAUCAUGAAAUGUAGCUAUGGCUAACAUAACCCUAAGAUUUAAUCUUCGCUAUUGGUGACAAGGUCUCGUCAUAGUCAAGUCCAUGAGUUUGAGUAAAGCCCUUCGCAACCAGUCGCACCUUAUAUGUGUGUACUUUCCCAUCCAUGUCGGUCUUCUUCUUGAAGAUCCAUUUGCACCCGACUGUCUUACGACCGGUACAUUGUCAACCAAGUUCCAAACUUUAUUUUUAUACAUGGAUUGAAUCUCGCUGUCCAUAGCCUCUUUCCACUUUGCAGACUCGGGGCCUGUCAUGGCUUCCUUGUAACCGUUAGGUUCAUCCAAAUUUACUAGUGUGCUAUCACUGAUAAAUGUAUCACCCUGAGAUGUUAUAUGGAAACCAUACAACACACGUGGAACACUAAUUCUACUGGAGCGCCUCAGAGGCACAGACUCGUCAACUGGUUCAACAUGAGUUUCCUCCUCAGGUUGAUUGCUAGUAUUUGAGGUUCCUUCGCCGCUUGACUCUUGAAGCUCUUCAAGGUUAAUUUUCCUCCCACUGUCUCAUGUGCCUAUGAGUUCUCUCUCAUGAAAGACUCCUCUCCUCGCAACAAAAACAACAUUGUCACUCGGUCUAUAAAAGAGAUAUCCAAAGGAUUUUUGUGGGUAGCCGAUGAAAAUACACAGCUCACUAUGAGGUUCGAGCUUGCUGUGAGUCUCGUGCCUCAUGAAAGCCUCGCAACCCCAAACCUUGAUGUGUGCUAACGAGCGAACCUUCCAUGUACACAUAUCGUGAGGUGUUUUGGAAACCUUCUUAGUUGGGACUAUAUUACGGAUAUGGGCGGCAGUCUCUAAGGCAUACCCCCAGAAUGAGAUAGGUAACGAAGCUCAACUCAUCAUGGAACGAACCAUAUCCACCAAGGUUCGAUUUCGUCUCUCAGCCUCACCAUUAAGUUUUGGUGUCGUAGGUGGCGUCAAUUGUGAAAAAAUCCCACAUUCCUUAAGAUAGUCUUGGAACUCGAUACUAAGAUACUCACCACCCCGAUCGGAUCAAAGCAUCUUUAUCUUCCUGCCCAACUGAUUCUCCACUUCUUGUUUAAACUCUUUGAAUCUUUCAAAGGUUUCUGACUUAUUUUUGAUUAGGUAGAUAUAUCCACAUCUAUUUUAGUCAUCAAUAAAAGUCACAUAGAAGAGGUUAGCAUCCCUUGUGGCGGUUCUGAAAGGUUCACACACAUCGGUGUGUAUGAGAUCCAACAAACCUUCACCCAUUUUAUAAGUACCAGUGAAGGGUGACUUGGUCAUCUUUCCAAGAAAACAAGAUUCGCAAGUGUCAUCCGACCUUAAGUCAAAUGACUCCAAAACUCCAGUCUUUUGGAGUUGGCCUAUGUGCUUCUUGCUGACAUGUCAAGGACGAUAAUGCCACAAGCAUGUCUUAUCCAAAACAUUGGAAGAAUCAAUAUGCAACACAUUAUUUCCUAAGUUGUCUACAACCAUCAUAGUUUCAUAUACACCAUUACAAGGCAAUUAUUUAAAAUAAAAAACACCAUUAUGAAAGCAUUAAUAGCACCAAUUUCAUUAUCAAAUGAAAAACUAAACCUUGUUUGUACAAACCAUGAAAGGAAAUAAUAUUUCUCGCCAUAUCAGACGAGUAGCAACAAUUAUUCAAAUCUAAUUCUAACCCACUACUAAGCAAUAAAGAGUAAACUCCAAUCUUGGUGACAAGUGAAACCUUCCUAUUCCCCAUGAUCAAGUUCAUCUUUCCGUGCUCCACAUCCUUAUUUCUUUUUAGUCUAUGCAAAUCAGAAAAAAGUGAAAUCCACAACCUGUAUCAAGGAACCAAGAACAAGAAUGUGAUGAGUUAUUAGAUAGAAUAGUAUAAAUACAUGAAUGGGUGGCCUUAACCUUCCCAUCUUUGACAUCCUGCAGGUACUUGGGGCAGCUUCUCUUCCAGUGCCAUUUUUCAUGACAAUAGAAACACUCUGCUUCCUUAGGAAUGGUAGAGGGAGCAACAGAACCACCUUUGGUUCCACUUUAAGAGGAUCCAUCAAGAGAAUUUACCUUGCGACUCUUAGAGGGAUCCUUCCUCUUCUUCCCUUUCCCAUGUCCAAUUGCCAAGACAGAGGUAGUAGUAGUAGGAGUAGAAAAAACAGAUUUACCUUUGAGACUACUUUCAGUAGUCCUUAAAAGGCCUUGUAGCUUGCUAAGAGUGAGCUCCUCCUUGUUCAUAUGAUAGGUCAUACGGAACUGAUCAUAACAUGGAGGUAAAGAGUGUAGAAUGAUAUCUAUCGCCAACUCUUCAUCUAAGUCCAGAUUCAACUUCAACAAGCAGUCCACAAAUCUUUGCAUUUUCUGCAAGUAGCCCAUGAUGGGUUCUCCAUCCUUCAUCUUUGAUGUUAUCAUGGAGGCGAUGAUUUCAUACCUCUCUUGACGAGCACCCUGAUGGUAUCUUUCCAUCAGGUCUUGGUGCAUCUCAAAAGGGUAGAAGUCCUCAUAUGACUUUUGGAGUUCAGUUGUCAUAGUGGCCAACAGGAUACAAGACACCUUGGUGGCAUCCUUCUCAUGAGUCCUGAACUCAACGAUCUCCUCAGGAUUAGCAUCAAUUUCACAUUUUUCCUAAAGUAACUAAGAUUGGGAAUUUAAUAAAACAUUUAGUUACUUUAUAAUUAUCAAUAUACUUUUAAUGAGAAUUAAUGUCCUAUCCUACCGGUUUGGCUAACAACCCUCCACUAGUCAAGGAAGCGGUGGGUGAGAGUGGACAUCCAUUAAACCACUAUUUUAUAGGAAGUAACCUUAUACCCCCUUAUAGACCGACUUCGUGAAUGAGGCCUACUAACGGUAAGACUGACUUGUCUUAUACAUAUAUAUAAUUAUUAAACUUUUAAUAUUAUAAUAGUAUAAGGGUUGAAUUUUAAACUUUUAAUAUUAUAGGGUUUGGAAUUAAAGUAUUCAUAAGUGUGACUUUCCAAAUUCCAAAACUUGAGAGCAACUUUUGAAACUCAUCAAAACUUUUCAUUUCCAUAACUUAUGAGUUUAAUGACUUUUAAAGAAAAAGACUUUUCAAUUUCCAUAACUUGAGGACAAGUUAUGGAGUUCAUUAAAGGCAUUUAGAUCAAUAUUUUAAUUAACAAAAUAAUCAAAUAAUUUAUCCAUAAUCUAGUUAAACUCAUAAGUCAGGAUAAUUCAUAUCAACAAUUUGCAAGAAAUUAGCCUAAUCAUAUAAACUAAUACAAAUAUUGAAAUUUUGACAAUUAUCUUUUAAUUGGAUAAGCAUGAUCACUACCAUAUCAAGAAAACAAAUUUUAUGUUUCAAAAAACAGUUUGUGGAAAUGAUCCUAAUCCAAUUCUGGCCAAAACUCAAAAAUUUGCAGCCAGAGCCAUAAACUCGACGAGUGCAUGAACCUAAAUCAUCAAGUUGGUCUUUUUCUGAGUGGACUCGUCGAGUCAGCCAGUGGACUCGGCGAGUUCAUCAGUCAGAAGCUAGAAAAUUGAUUUUUUCAAUUUGGAAAACUAAUAAGCAUCAAGUAUAAUAGAAAACAAUCCUAGGCUCUGAUACCACUGAUGGGUUUUAAGCACUCUAACAACCUUAUGGUGCACAUGCAACCCUAGAUGCUUUGGAUCUAUGUUUUCUCUAAUUAUACAUGCAAUUUGUUUUUCCAAAGCAUUCAUCCUAACUAGCAUACAAUUGAACAAAAUAACUAGUUAGAUAACUUACAUCUUAAUAGGACUUGUAGUUCUUGGCCUUCAAAAGCUUUAGCACCUCAAAUGUGAUGCCUCUAAUGUGUUACAAACACCAAGUGCAAAAGGAGGCUUGAGAGAAUAAGUUACUUAGCACAAAAUCGAUUCACAUUCUCCAAGAAUGUAUGUGGCAACCAAUUUUGGCUCUAGAGGGUUCCAUUUAUAGUGUGACAAGUGCUAGGGUUACAUCCAUGCAAACCCUAAUGCACCAUGACUCUUCACAUUACUUAGGCUCCAUGGGUUAACCUCCAUGGACUAUCCAUGUUGGUUUAUCCCAUCCUAAAUAAUAAUGGAUCAUUGGCCCACACUAUAUGAAUCAUUGAUUUACCAAAUCAGUCCCCGUAUAUUUAAUUAGUCCCUUUUGAUCACUAAAUUAAUUCCAAAUUAUUCUUGAUCAAUACUAAUUAAAUUAUAUGAUUUCAUAUUAAUAUAUUAUACUUGUAAUAUAUUAACAAAUCACAAAUAACCUUAUUCUCAAAAGUCCAUCCAAUCAAUUUGCAUUGAUGAAGGCAACCCAAAAGGACCAUGUUUCUCUCGGGUCAAGUACAUACCAAUUUAGUUAUGGGCUUAGACACCUAAUCCAACAGGAGUUGCCUAUAUAGUUGCAGGAGUUGUUAGACAAGCGAUUCAUUCCACCAAGCAGUUCGCCUUGGGGAGCACCGAUCUUAUUCGUGAAGAAGAAUGAUGGGUCUCAUCGUAUGUCCAUUGACUACUGGGAGCUGAAUAAGGUAACGGUGAAGAACCGUUAUCCACUCCCGAGGAUUGAUGAUCUUUUUGACCAACUUCAGGGUCCAUCUUGGUUUUCCAAGAUUUAUUUGUGAUUGGGUUAUCAUUAGAUGAGGUUUAGGGAUGAGGAUAUGUAGAAGAUAGCUUUCCGGACUCGUUAUGGUCAUUACGAGUUCGUGGUGAUGCCUUUUGGGCUCACCAUUGCUUCAGCUGCGUUUAUGGAUCUCAUGAACCGCGUGUGCAAAUCGAUGCUGGAUCAGUCUGUAAUUGUAUUCAUUGAUGAUAUCUUAGUUUAUUCCAAGACUCAAGAGCAGCACGAGGAGAACUUGAGGGAAGUGUUGGAGACGUUGAGGUGGUAGAGACUUUUCACAAAGUUGUCUAAGUGUGAGUUCUGGUUGCGCAAGGUGCAGUUUCUGGGGCUGUUUGUCAACCAGAAUGCUAUUCUGGUCGAUCCGGCCAAGGUUGAGGCCAUGAUGCAGUGGGAGGUUCCGAGGUCUCCAUAUGAGAUUCAAAGUUUUCUUGGUUUGGCGGGUUAUUAUCGGAGAUUCAUCCAUGAUUUCUCCAAGAUAGUUGUUCUUUUGACCCGACUGACAAAGAAGAUGGUUACAUUUCGUUGGGGGCCUAAGCAACAGACAACUUUUGAGACCUUGAGAAAAUGGUUGUGCGAGGCACACAUUUUGACCUUGUCGAAGGGUGUUAAGAAUUUUGUGGUAUAUUGUGAUGCGUCGAUCACAGGAUUGGGGGAAGUGUUGAUGCAGAGGGGUUGUGUGAUUGCUUACGCUUCGAGGUAGCUGAAGCUUCAUGAGGAGAAUUAUCCGACAUAUGAUUUGGAAUUGGGGGCCGUGGUUUUCACCCUUAAGAUUUGGUGGCAUUACCUUUAUGGGGUUUGUUUUACUAUUUACACGGAUCACAAGAGCUUGAGGUAUUUGAUGGAUCAUCCGAAUCUGAAUGUGACGCAGCCCCAGUGGUUGGAUGUGGUGAAGGAUUAUGAUUGUGAGAUCCUUUAUCACCCAGGGAACGCCGACAUGGUGACCGGUUCUCUCAGCCGCAAGGCGGUCGCGGCUCUGAUCAAAGACAUAUGUUUGAGGAUGACCAUGAUUACUCCGUUGUUGGAGCAGAUUCAUGAGGCUCGGGUUGAUGCUACGAAAGAAGAGCACCAAAAGAGUGAGCGUAUUGUGGGUUAGGUGGCUUCCUUCGAUUAUGAUAGACGUGGAUUGUUGACUCUACAUCAGUGGGUUUGGGUUCUGUAUUGGGACAGUGUAUGUUAGGUUCUGAUUGAGAAGGCGCAUAAGUCUAGGUUCUGGAUUGGAAUCAAAUUGUUAGUUGGAUAUUAUUUGGUAUUGAUAGCUCGGGGAUUUGUAGGACCAACAACCAGAUUUAUUCGUGUGAUUCAACAGUUCGAGGUGAGUUUCCUCACUCUGUUUAGCGGGCCGAAGGUACCAAUGCCGACCCAUGAUUUUGUUAUGUUAGGGUGCUAGAUGUCUGCAUGACUCCUGCAUGUAUUAUGUAGUUGUAUGCUUACCGGGCGGGGCCCGAUGACCAUUUUUUAUGCUAUGUAUCUUUGUGAUUAUUGCAUGUGUAUGUGUUUAUAUGAUAUAUGUUUAUAUGUAUGUCGGGUAGGGGCCCGAUCUGUGUACCGAGCGGGGCACGAUGUCGGACGGGCCCUAUUAUAUGUUUAUUAUGUAUGGUAUGUGGUAUUUUUGGGAACUCACUAAGCUUUGUGCUUAUGAUCUUUAGUUUAUGUUUAAGGUACUUCCAGUUCCAAAGGGAAGAGCUCGGAAUGAUUGCAAGGCACACACCACCUCAUUCUGCAUUUUCUUGAUUUACUCUGAUGUGAUACGUUGAUUUAUACAUUUGUUUUAUCUAGAUUUUUAUGAUGGUGUUCUUUGGAUACUAGUUUUAUUAACUUAAAAAUGAAACUUUUGGGUCCUAUUUUUGGGACAUUACAUAUUGAAGAAGAUAAAACCUAUUAAACUCAAGUACGCAUCUUGAAUAACCAUCAGACGCAUCACGUUUUAUGACAAAGGGCUCUUCAGAUCGAGAUUUAUCAUUUUAUGCAUCAUGUUUUUCUUCAAGACACGUCGCGUAAUUCCUAUUGCUUUCAAACUUGAACUUCACCAGUUAUUCAUAACAAGAAACCCGACAUCAGUUAUAGCCAGUGUUGUAAAACUCGCUGAGUUGGCCGAUUACUCCUCCAAGUACUCGCUACUCCCCCUUGCCGAGGUGAGUUACAUAAUCCCGAGUACUCCCCGAUUGGCCCCUUAUGAACUGAUUAGUGUUGUGAAAUUUGGUCAACUCGGUGACUAAUAUCCGACAUAUGAUUUGGAAUUGGGGGCCGUGGUUUUCACCCUCAAGAUUUGGUAGCAUUACCUUUAUGGGGUUUGUUGUACUAUUUACACGGAUCACAAGAGCUUGAGGUAUUUAAUGGAUCAUCCGAAUCUAAAUGUGACGCAGUGCCAGUGGUUGGAUGUGGUGAAGGAUUAUGAUUGUGAGAUCCUUUAUCACCCAGGGAACGCCAACAUGGUGACCAGUUCUCUCAGCCGUAAGGCGGUCGCGGCUCUGAUCAAAGACAUAUGUUUGAGGAUGACCAUGAUUACUCCGUUGUUGGAGAAGAUUCGUGAGGCUCGGGUUGACGCUAUGAAAGAAGAGCACCAAAAGAGUGAGCGUAUUGUGGGUUAGGUGGCUUCCUUCGAUUAUGAUAGACGUGGAUUGUUGACUCUACAUCGGCGGGUUUGGGUUCCGUAUUGGGACAGUGUGUGUUAGGUUUUCACCGUGUCAUUAUUACUACAUAUAUGUUAAAUUUUCAGUAAUUAUUCACGAAGUGAGACCAUUAUGUGUUUUUCAUUUUUUGUGUAUUCACAUGUAUCCGAUUUUGUUAUAUAUUUCAAUCAACUUAUGAUUUUAUCUUAUGAUUUUGACAUAUAUAAUUUCCCUAAAAAUAUUUCUACACAAAUUUCCAAAUCCGAGUACUCGCGAGUACUCGCUACUCGGUAGUCAGCCGAACAGGUACCGAGUAACGAGUUCUACAACCUUGGUUAUAGCCCAAAUACAUCAUAGAAUCAUGACCAAAAAUCUUUUGAAGGGUGUAAUGCAAUCAAUAUAAUCCAAAAGCCCAUAAGUCUAAAAUUUAAAAGAACAAACUAGAAAACUAAAAACUAAACACCGAGUUGCCUCUCAGAAGCGCUUAAUUAAUGAGUCUUUAGCUGGAUUUCAUUCCCCGACUUAAACCUUCUAGGAAAUUGUCUCCAUGUAUCUCGAAAGAGUACCCAGGAAAUAGAAUUGCAACACCUUUGAAAAUUUCCAACCUAAUUUCCCGUGCUCAAGAUAGAUGCUUGUUGGUUCCUCAUUGCAAUUUCUAUACGUGGUCUGAUUCUUUUCACCAGUUGCUUAGUCUCCCUAUGUAUUUUGUCAAACACCUCUAGAGAUCUUGCUAGCAUAGAUUCAAAAUCCGACUUCUUUUCUUGUUGUGUAGGUAGCUCCGAAGACUCUUUACUGUAGUACCCUUGCCCACUUUACGUGUACCUUUCCUCUCCGCCUUUUAUAUAUUCUUCACAAGGCUUCCAAUUGUUUCAAGGCUUUCAGUCUUCAAAUCUAUCUUCUCAGGAAUAACACACUUAUUACUUUACAUUUCCAUAUCCAUCCAUAGUGCAAUCGUUAGCUAGAUGAGGCCCAUUGUAGUUAUCACACCCAACUUGAAUAACAUGAAUCGUCUGAUUUAUCUUCUUCAUAUCUCUUCCCAAAGUUUCUAGUUUUGCAUCUAAAGCUACAAGACCUUUUAGUCGUUUCAUCUUCUUUAUUUCUGAAAGAUACGUCUAUAGAAGAAUGUCACUAGUACGGGUGUUGAGCCAACUCUUCAAUGAUUUCUUUUCCUUUAACAUGACUCUUUUGGGGAAUUGGUCCUUAAGAUCUGACCAUCUAAUGAGUGGCUACAUCAAUACCGUUUAGAAAGCAUGUACCUCUUGAUGAGCAUUAAGAUCAUGCUGAGGGAAAUCUUAUAACAUCUCUUUGUAACUAUCUCAUGCAUCAUAAAGUGUUUCAUCAUCAAGCUGCUAAAAGUUUUGGAUUUUUAUCUUUAUUUUUGGAUUUUGGAAGGUUGACCUAAUUGUUUGAUGAACUUGGUCUUUAAAUUCACCCAAGUUGUGGUUCAAUAGGAUAGCUCAGCUUUCAACCAAAAUAUCACAGUCCCUUGAAGUGCAAUAGGAAAUACCCUAAGCAUAACUUUAUCAUCCAGAAAUCCUGCUGCUUUGAAAUAGUCGACCAUGUCGAGCACAUCUUCUAUAUCUUUGUUAGAAUCUUCAUUGUCCUUUCCAGAAAAAGGAGUCUCCUUUAAUAAAUGCAUAAACUAUCCCUUGAUUUAGAAACCUUUUUCAUUCGAAAUUGGGAGACAAACUAUUCCAAACACGAUGGUUUCUGUUGUGCGACUCAUAUACUCGUCCAAUGACUUAUCAUUGACAUUCACCAUCUCAACUUAUCAUUCAUAAAAGUCUUUUUCUUCCUUUUCUUUUCGUUCUCUUUUCACAGAGAAUGAAUUUCACGUUUGAUUUCUGGAAAUGGUGGUGUUACUUCUGAAGUUGAUGCUCAAGUCUAUACUAUUAGCAUAUCAAAUAAUAAAACCGGUCAACCAAANNNNNNNNNNNNNNNNNNNNNNNNNNNNNNNNNNNNNNNNNNNNNNNNNNNNNNNNNNNNNNNNNNNNNNNNNNNNNAAAGCUUACUGAUUAGAGAAGGCAUUGCAUGUGUUACUGUGAUACCUUCUUCGACAAAAGAGUAUAUUUACAUAAACAAAAAAAUUUCUUAUAGGAAUGCUCGCCGAAUGAAUCGAUUAACUAAGAACAAGACAACCUAAACUAAAUUCAACAGUACCCCCAUAAUAACGCCAAAAACUUGAUGUGUUUAAAUCUAGUAUUAAAUUUAUAAUAGGAAAUACCAGAACUAGGGAUUGUUAACACAAUUUGGGAAGUGUGGCUAAUUGUUUAGUAGUAUAGUUGAGGUAAGAAAAAAAAUCAACUAACAGUUAAACUAAAAACAAUAUUAAAAGUUAGAGAUUUGAGAUUUUGAAUCUAAAAUCUAAACUUGAAAAGAGAAAGUAAUGCAAAAAGUAUAACACAUUGGAAAACAAGUUGUAAAAAAGAAUGAUAAGGAUGCUUUCACUUAGACUUGAUUCCAUAUUUAGUUAUGGUUGAUUCAUACAAAGUGCAAUGUAUAUUUGUUGUUACCCACUGAUUCCUAAGUUGAUUAGUUCCAUUGUGUGACAUCAUCUACUUUUCAGAACCAUUUUUUUCUUUACGCUUUAAAAAACACAAUACUUUUGUUUGCGGAAAUCCCAGUACAAUAAAACAUUUUGCAUAAACUAUUUUUGUUUAUUAAAUAUCUUGAGUAAAGAUGUUGUUUCAUAAUACAAAAAAAAGAACUAAGGAUGUCAUAAUCAAUACACAACAUAUGUUAUAGCAUAAAGACCUAACGGUCCUGAACACUAUUGCAGGUUGUUUCUUAAUCACUUGACAUCCUAAUUAAGUUCCAACAACUUUAACUCUGUUACCCUUGAUGCAUAUAAUUUGCGUGUGUCAAGUUGGGAAACCUGGUGAGACACAUAUGUUUUAAAUCCCACAAUAUUAUUAUGAUAAUAAUGUAUAAUUAUCAAACCUACAAAACUAACUAUUACCAAACAAUAUAGAUAUAUCUCAUAACUUAGAUAUCUAUAAAACCUUACACCCAUACAUACCCAUCCCAACCGAUUCUUAUAAAUCCUAGUCAACGAUUAUUUGUAAGAAUCAACUCACCUGAUGAAUCAUUUAGAGCAAUGGUUUGACUACACAACUAGGGGUUUCCUUGGCCGGUGUAAGUCAUAAUGAAAAAUUAACCCAUCAGAUUAUUUGAUAAAUAUGGUAUCCCAUUUCAUCUACUUUUGUAGGUUAUAAGUCCACACUAGAAACGUAAUUCACUAGACUGUCUAGAAUAAUCAAGUGUUAUCAUGUUACUCUGGGAGAUGAUCAAACAUACCAUUUAUGCUUCCUGAUCGGACCGAUGAUCGAAAACCACCAUAUUUGGCUCCAAAGGAAUACUAAAUCAUACUCCGAUACGUAAUCCAUACAUCGACACUUGAUGGUGUGACAUAACAGAGCUCUACUCUUCGUUCCUAUCGCACAUACCCUUACUAUGAUGUUACCCAAUAUCCAAACUUAAUUAAACUAAACAUCAUUUAUAAGUCUUAUUUCAUUACUAGGAAAGACUAUAAUACAUGUAAUCAACUUACAAAAACAUUUCCCAUCUAUACCAUAUUAUCGUAAUACAGUAUACGACUGUACUUUUAUCAAACUUAACUGGAACUAAUCAUCCUUUAUAUGUUUUAGUUUAAAAAUAGACUAGACUAUAACAUAAAUAGUCAACUUUCAAUAUGUAUUCCUUGUUAAUGCAAUAUUAUUUGAAUAAAGGGCAUGACUAAGUACUUAUCCAAUUUAUUUCAUACUAAGCAUCCUCUAUAAAUAUUACUUCAAGACUAUGAUAUGUAUAAACAAUUUCUAAAAACAUUUUUUAUGAAAUACUUAUCAUACUACAGGCAUAUAUAUNAUUUUGGUAUAAAUUUAAUUUUUUUAAGUAAUAUUACGUGUAUCAAGAUUAUCACACAAUAUUACCAAAAUAACCUUUAGCAUAUAAUCUACUAUCCUAAUAAAACAGUACCAAAUUGCCACGUGGCAAUUUCUCAGCCUCCCCCAAGCUAUUUUUCCCGCUCAAAUUAUCUAAGUGGUAUACCGAAAUUGCCCUUUUGGUCAUUUCAACACACAGUGCAGUAAAAUCUGGAAUGUGAUCUGCAAAAGAAAUUCAAACUCAAUUAAAAUUUCACCCGUAUUCUCUGCAAUUGCAUGAUUUUAGGAAAUAAAUGUCGAAAUUAAAUGAUAAUGAUAAUAAUCAAUAUAUCAAUAUAUAUUCCAUAUAUAAAAGAUAUAUUCAUAUCCCUACAUAUGAGCGUUAGUUUAGAUUGUAAUUUUAAAUUAUUAAAUAAAAAAAAUGUUUCAUCCCAUACGUGAGUUUAAACAUCAUAAACCACUUAGUUAUCCUUUUCUAUCAUUCAUAAAUUCGAAAUUAUUUUGAAUACAGUAAAUCACAAAAAAUCAGGAAAUAGAUUUCAAUCCAUGUAUUCGAAUUAUCUGUUGAACUUAAAGGCUCUUUGCCCUUGCAGAAUACAUUGUUCCUGAAGAAAAAACACACAAGAUUUUCAUUAUUGAUUGAGGUAAGUGCGCAUCAGCUUUCGUAUAUAUUCGUAUAUAUCUGUACAUAAAAUAAAAUCAGUAUCAGUUUUCGGAAAUAAUAAUAUAUACAAAUUUAGCACUCAAAAUGUAAUCACCUAAAAGAUAAUGAAACAUCUUACCUUAAUGUUUCGGAUUUGAAAUUUCAAAUCUUCCUAUUCCAAUAAACCUGCAUUAAAAAUCACAUAAAAUCAGGAAGAAUUUUUCAAUUAAAAGAUAACAGAACAUCUUACCUUAAAUAUCGUAAACAUCGUUCUUUCAGUUUCUGAACUAUAUAUCCACCGCUUACUUGGAUAUAUGAUAUUCUGCUUCAUAUUCUUCCUGUAUCGACUGCAUCUUUGAAAUUCUGCUUCAUCAAACUUCAACGCAUAAGGUUAGUUUUUAUUCUAUCGUUAUUUAUUUCUGCAUUUAUUUCCUUCUCCUUCAUCUUCUUCAUGGUUCCUCUAUCGCAUCUCAGUAUUCCUGAAUCAUCAUCUUUUGCUGGAUAUAAUAUAUCUAAUAUUGUAGUGGGAUUCUAAACCGUUUUUUUUUUUCUUUUUCUGUUUUUAUUCUACUAUAAAGGAUCAAUGCAAUUAGCAUUAAACAUUCAAUUCAUCCUUCUUUGUUGGAAAUAAUAUAGCAAAUAGCAUAAUACUUUGCUGGAAAUUAUAAUAUUUGCUGCAAAUAAUAUAGCAAUUAGCAUAAUGUGAUGGUAAACUGUUUUUUUAUUCUAUAUAUACACAAAGUACUUUCCAGAAAAUAAUAAUAAAAAAACAGACAAAAAGAAAUUGUAAACACGUUCAAAAUUUAACAAUGUACUUUUAUGAUGAAUCAGAAAGUAGGAUAAUCUAAUAAUAAAAAAAAGUAUGUUACUAUUUCCUCAAUUUAACCCUUUGUUUUUUUUUUUUUAAUUUAACAUAUUCAUCUGCUUAUUUAAGUGAGUCAAUUCACACCUUAUCUUCUUACUUUUUGUGUUGGGUUUCAUGAGCUAAUAAUUAAGGUUGUGUUAUUGAUUUUAUUCGUAAAAAAAAUUAAUAGAAUCAGACAAAAUCAUUUUUUGAUGAUCAUACCUAUGUUUAGCAUUAUUGUUGUUGUUGUUUAUUUAUUUAUUUUUUUUUAACUAAUAAACCUUCCAAGUAUGUGAAUAGUUGUUUUUAGUUGUGGGAAUUUACUAAAAUUGUUUAUUUAAAUCAUAAUAGUUAGUGAUGGAAAAUAUCAUCAUUUGCACGUGUAGUGAAACAACAUUGCCCAUGUGUGGAAUUAUUUGAUGAUCAUGAUUUGCACGUGAUGAUUGUUCUAAACAAAAAAAACAUUGUAUAGCAGUUGAUAAUUGUUCUAUAAAUUUGCCUAAAAAAUGAUACAGUGUUGGAUGUAAGGUAAAAUACUGAAAUAUUAUUGUCUAAAUACAUAUUUAACCGGUUACACUAUUAGUCAUUACAAUUACAAUUUGGAUUUAUUAGUGAUGUUUGUCAUUUUUUUCUGUGCAUCUGUUACACUCGAAAUCCAAGUAUUCAAGAAACAAAUAUUUACUGUUUUUGCUUUAUUUCCAACUUGUUGAAUGUUUACAAAAUUAUGUUAGGNUCUAACUUGUCAAAUGUUUACAAAAUUAUGUUAGGUCCUAUUUCUACCUAUGUCAACUUUGUGAAUGUAUAUAUUUUAGACAAAGUGAAUGUAUUUUUAACAGUAUUUGAAACAAUAAUGUUUUCCAUCUAUAUUUGUACUGUAAUAUAUUAUGUAAUAUGUUUAUAAUUGUUUGCAUUUAAUAUUAACUGUUUAAUAAUAUGCUUUGAAUUUAUAAUGUAAAGGGCAAAAUUUAUAAUAAUUUCAAUAUGCUAUCAAUUGUUCGCAGAUAAUGAAUAUCGGCAAUAAACUAUAUCUAAAAGACAUUGAACAUAUUGCUGAUGAUUCACAUCUCAAACUACGGGUGUUAAAGAUUUGGAAUUUUAUAAAAAAUAACCACGUUUUAUCGAUUGAAAUGAUCGUCAUGGACGAGGAGGUUAGUUUACUUUUUUUAAACCUACUAAAUAUUACAUAUGUUUCAAAGAAUAAUUUUUUUGUUUUUGUUUUAACAGGGUACAAAAUACCAAUCUCGUGUUUUCCACCAAAAUUUUUCAAGAUUUCGUGACCUUUUAAAGGAAGGUGAAAGUUAUAUCAUUUUAAAACCAAACUUGGCGGGUGUUAAAAAUGGUUUUAGUGUUACCGGUCAGAAACAGACAUUAACUUUGGAUUGGAAAAGUAUCGUAAAAAAAUCUGAUGAUUUUUCGGGUCCCGUUAAUGGUUUUGUGUUUGCUGAUUUCAACUCUAUCAUCGAAUAGAAAUGCCCAAGAGACACAUUAUUUGGUUAGUUGUUUAAUUUUAUUUCAUUCACUUUUAUAACUAAAAGAAAUAAAUUAUAAAUGUUAGUAUUUAACUGAUUCUUAUAUUUUUUUUAUUUUAAAAUUGUGUAGAUGUUAUUGGGCUAAUUGUCUCAUUUAGGCCACUUGAGACAACCAAUCCUAAUCCAUCAAAACAUUACAUGAAGAUGACUAUUAGCAACUUAGAGUGAGAUGAUAUUUAUUUCAUUUAUUUAUUAUUUUUAGUCAUAUUUUUUCAUACUAAUUAAAUUAAUUUUUUAUUUAGGUCUGUACACCUCAAUGUCACUAUAUUUGGAAGUCAGGCACAUGAGAUGUCACAUUACCUGAAAAGUAACACCACCAUUACUUGUGUUGUUAUAGUGAUGCAGUUCGUGAAACUUAACGUUUGGAAUGGUUUGUAUUUUAUUAAUUAAUUUGUUUUCCAAUCUACUUUUAUUGACUAAUCUGUUUUUACAGGAAUUGGUCAAGCCCAAAGUCAUUUUGAUGUAACCAAAAUGUUCAUUAAUUCAGACAUUGUUGAAAUUAAUGAGUUUAAGAAAGAGUUAGUUUUUUUAGUUUUUAUUUAAACUUAUUUAUGUUAUUAUAUUUAUUUAGAUGAAUACAAUUUCUUAUAUUUAAUAAAUUAAUUUUAAACAUUGCAGAUUGAAGGCUAAUAACAAAGGAGGUAUGUCUGAAAAAAGCAUUACUACGCUCCCAAGCUACUCUACCUCUUAUAUAGAUGAUUUUAAAGGCGAUUUCCCUUUAAAAACUGUUUGUGAGAUCACAGAACCACUUAAGGUAUAUGUUUUUUACUUUAUAUCUUUUAAUUUUAUUUGAACAUUGUAUUUUUUUUUAAUUUUACAUUUUAUUUGAUAUAGGAAAUGAAAUUUCUAUUAGUUGGUUCCAUCGUCAAUAUAAGACAGAAUCUACCUUGGUAUUACGAUGCGUGCUACAAAUGUGGAAGAAGGAUAAACAAUGUGCCCAAAACCAAUCUUUCCUAUACCGCCCCCGGCAAGAUGGAAGAUAGUGUUGUAAUUAAGUGUAAAAAUGCAGCUUGCAACGAUUCGAAUUUUCAUACUGUUAUAAAGUAUACGCAUACCUCCAUUUAUAUUAAUCAUUUCAAUCAUUCAACAAAAUUACUAAUAAUCUAAUAUUUUUUAGGUAUAUAAUUCCAAUCAACGUACAAGAUCAUACUGGCACCAUCGGAUUCACUCUUUUUGAUAGGGAAGCAAAAAGAUUGUUGGAUAUAAGUGCAUUCGAGUUGAAAAAAAUACAUGAGGAGGUAUAGUUUUUUAUUCAUAUUUUUCUAUCAAAUAACAUUUUAUUUGUUUUAAUAUAUUAAACAAUCUUCUUACAGGUUGGUGACAGUUUGGAACUAUAUCCAAAUCAUAUGAACGUGUUGAAAAACCGCAAAUUUGCGUUUCUUGUAGAUGUUACAUCCCACAAUGUCACCAACUAUAACAAUAUCUACACCGUUGUCAAACUUACAGAAGAUGAGUCCGUUGUUUUAGAAUUGGAAAGUAAACUAGAACUUAUGGUAAAUAAUGUUUUAAUGUUCAAUAUUUAUAUUUAUUUUUUAUUUANUUUUAUUUACUACAUAACGUUUUACAUAUUUCCAUAUUAUUUUCUAGAGUGUUCAAUCAGUGUCCUUAAAUGAAGUACCCCUGGAAUCAGAUGAGGUCGUUCAAAAUGUUCAAAAGGUAUGUUAUAUUCUCAUAUUAAGUUUUAUUUAUUAUUUAUAUUUAAUUAGAUCGCUUGUCAACUUAUGUUUUUUUAAUUUAGGAUGUCAUAUCACAAACGGAUGAGAAUUUUACUCCCUCGACAAUUGAUAAAUCAUCCGCAACAAGUCCAUUGAAAAUAUCAGUUGAUUUGAAGCGCAACCUCCAUGACAUUUAUGAUGUUGAUGGUGGAGGUGAUUUGAGUUCAAUAAAAUCUAAAAGAAAAUCAAUGGGAGAGGGAAACCCACUUUUAGUUCCAAAAGUGGAAAAGUGAGUUGUUAUGGUGAUGACGUUUAUGAUCUAGAAGAUGAUGGUGAUGCAAAUUCUAUAAAAUCAAAUACGGAAUCUUUUGGUGAAGAUACUCCAGUUUGGGUGCCAAAAGUGGAGAACUGAGUUGAUUAUGGUUUUUAAAAACAAUUAUUAAGUUUGGUUUUGUUUUAAAGACUAUUUCGUUGUUUCGUUCAAGUAUUUUGGGGACUUUCGUUAGUUUUUAUACGUUUGUUUUGUUUAUUUGAAGUGGUUUAACAGUACAUUUUUACUUAUUUGACACUUUCGCUUUAAAAUUUGUUUCUAUCACAAUUACACUAAAAUUAAUCUUGGAAAAUAAUAUGUUUAAAAACAGUUAAAUUUAAAUUAACAACAACCAAUGUACUUGUGUACAAGGGCAUAACGAAUAGUUUUUACAUUGUAAUUAAUAAGAAAUAUAUUAAAAUAAUUAAAACCAUUGAAUUUCAGUUUUAAAUUAGGUUUGACCGUUUAGAGGAAAAAGUUGAAGAACAUAUAUUUUUCCUGUUUAUUCUAUUUAUGUUCUAUAAUUCGUCAUAUAGUUCAUUCCAUAGGGACCAUUCUUACACAUUUUAUCACCAAAAGGACCAUUUGUCCUAUCAUUGUUUGUUUUUCUGUUUAUGUCGUAUACUAAAAAAACUAUCAUUAUUUCUUUUUAAUAGAAAAGGACAAUUCUGCCCUUAUAUAUGGACCAUUUUACCAAAUAACUUAUUUCAUAAUAUAGCGCCCUACUUUUCAUAAAAACCGACAUAAAGGGCAAUGGACUAAUAGGAAUGAACCAAAAAAAGGCAAUCAACUAUAAAGCGACAUAAAACAUACCAGGAGCAUCAACAAGGGCAAAAAGGCCAAUAAACCUCAUAUGAAGGAAGCAAGAAUCAUCCGAAACCAAGUAUACCAGUGUCUAGCAAGAAAAAGACAACAAAAUCAAGUAGUAAUGAAUAUCGAUGAAGCCACCCAACACAAAAAGGAAAAACAUUCCAGCUUAUAGCAAAACCAAAAGGGCAAAACAGUCCAUCUAAGAGAAACAUCAGGUCAAUGGUUUAUAAUCUUUAUCAAUCAACACAUCAAUAGGGUUUAACAGGUUAAACAAAAGAUGGUUGACAAUUGUUUGUUAAUUGUGAUUUAUAAGAUUAUUAUAUUUGAAAGUAAAAGCUAAGAGUUUUGGAUCUCCCUUUCCGGUAUCUGAUCAUAAUUUUCCUAUUCAGUAUUAAAACAAUUUUCCUAUUCCAUGGCUAUUUACUUUUCAUUAUUGCAGUUUUUUAGCCAAAUGGCAAAAACUUCAAAUUCGUAUACAAUAUAAAAAUAAAAAUAAAAAUAUGUUAUUCUUUGUGGAAACCACGGGUAAGAAUAAAAUAUUGAUAAUUAAAUAUUGUAAUCACUAAUCAAAGACUUCUAAAAAUUUGGAUAGACUACCGAUAGCAAUAGUAGUAUAAUGCUUAAUUAAGAAAAAAAAAAAAAAAUAGACGUAACAAAAAGAUAGUAUUUUACACAAGCAAAACCAAAAUGUGUGAAACUUUUUUGAAGAAAAAAGCAUUAUUUGUUGCUAAUUUCUAUAUUUCCUCAACUUCCUUUGUGCCACCAUAUAGUUUUGUUGUAUCACAUGUGGUCAUAGCCCAGUUAUAAUAAGCCUAUAGUUAGACAAAAUAAAAUUAGCAUAUGUUAAGAAGAUAAACUUAAUUAUACUCACAUUCAAUUUUUUCUUACUUCAUGAAGGGUAGGGUUUAUAUUGGUAGCUAUAACACAGUUUUGGCAAGGUUCUUCAAGUUAAGCAGCUUUGGAAGCUGUAUUAGUACCUCACACUGUACAUGAGAUAAUGCAGCAACUCCGGUCCAUCCUUUUAUUGGGUAUGCAGCUUGAAGAUAUAUCAAACAAACAAAAACUUGUCAUUUUUUCUAAAAUAAGCGCUUAACAUUUUUUUUUCUUUUAUCAAGUGUUUUUUAAAGAAAAUAUUAUAUGACAAACUAACAAAACUAUUAUAUGAAUACAAAUAUUUUUUGAGGUAAAUAAAUAUUUUAAAUAUGGGAAAAUGACUUAAAAUGGUAAUUAUAUUUUUGUAAGAACAUUGUUAUUUAUUGCAAUUUGCAUCAGGUGACCAUGUCCAGAAAGAAGCAAUUUGCUUAGAGUUUUGGAUCUCCCUUUCUGGUAUUUGAUCAUAAUUUGGUAAAAUUCAUGAUUAAAACAAUUUUCCUAUUCCAUAGCUAUUUACUUUUCAUUAUUGCAGUUUUUUAGCCAAAUGGCAAAAACUUCAAAUUCGUAUAAAAUAUAAAAAUAAAAAUAAUAAUCUGUUAUUCUUUGUAUUUAAUAGAAAAGUAUAAUUAUGCCCUUUCCUAUUAAUCUUGCCCUGUUCCUAUCAUUGUUUGUUUUUCUGUUUAUGUUGUAUACUAAAAAACUAUCAUUAUUUAUUUUUAAUAGAAAACGACAAUUCUGCCCUUAUAUAUGGACCGUUCUACCAAAUAACUUAUUUCAUAAUAUAGCGGCCUACUUUUCAUAUAAAGCCACAUAAAGGGCAACGGAGUAAUAGGAAUGAACCAAAAAAAGGCAAUCAACUAUAAAGCAACAUAAAACAUACCAGGAGCAUCAACAAGGGCAAAAAGGCCAAUAAACCUCAUAUGAAGGAAGCAAGAAUCAGCAGGCAUCCGAAACCAAGUAUACCAGGGUCUAGCAAGAAAAACACAACAAAUUGAAAUAGUAAACAACAUAAAUGAAGCCACCCAACACAAAAGGGAAAACAUUCCAACUUAUAGCAAAACCAAAAGGGCAAAACAGUCCAUCUAAGAGAAACAUCAGUUCAAUGGUUUGUAAUCUUUAUCAAUCAACACAUCAAUAGGGUUUAAUAGGUUAAACAAAAGAUGGUUGACAAUUGUUUGGAUCUCCCUUUCUGGUAUCUGAUCAUAAUUUUCCUAUUCAGGAUUAAAACAAUUAAUUUAUUGAGCAUACUGUAUCUACUUUUGAAUCAAAUAUGAUAACAUAAGACUUAGUUUUUUAUGUUCUUUUGUUUCGACUAAAUAAGAAAAAUGUAAGGUACAAUAAACAAAUUAAUAAGUUUUAGUUUCCAAAUACAAGAAUUAUGCAUAAUACUAAAUAUAUAAAUUGUUUUCAACACACGGUGUUUUUUUUUUUUAAUUUUUUUAAUAUGAAAUUAUUUAUGUACAAAUAAAAUUUUAAAAUACAAUCUAAAUUAAAUAAUAUUAAGAAAUAUCACAAAAAAUGAAACUUCAAGGUAUUUUUUUAUUUACUCGUAUUAAUAUAAAUCAAUGAAUAAUUUUGCACAAAAUUAAGCCUAAUGUUUAGCAAAUUCAAAUUUCAAAAUUUUAAAAUAAUACUCACACAAUACGAAAUUCAAAACUUUUAGCAAAUUGAAAAAUACCUGAUUGUGUUUCCAUUCUUAAUCGAUUUCGAGGUAUUCUUUUGAAGUUCUUCACUUUUCGCUGAUAUCUUUAUAAACAAGAUUUCUGCAAAAACAAAACCAGGUAAAUUUCUUCCCAAUAAUGUAUGUUCUGUUAAUAAAACCUAAAGAUUCACAAACAAUUGACCAUCUCUUACCUUCAAUCUUGCUGUCUUCAACCCCCAUUUUUUCGUUUCUUCAGUCUCUGAGUCCGACAUCAACUAUUUAUCUACUGUAAGUCUCUGAGUUCGACAUCGACUUUGGUUGUAAGUUUCUCUUCCACAUCUCUUACCUUCGUCACUUCCUUCAUCGACUAUUAAUUGAUGUAAGUCUCUGGUGACGAUAUCCUCUUCCGAAUCGUUCCACAUUCCAUUUCAAAACACCCGAUAAUAUGUAACUAAUCGCAUCCUUCUCAUUUCCUGAUUUUCGAGAAUAUCGACACAAAUCGUUCUAUGUUGUUUAAUCGUCAAGGUUCUGACCUACAUACACAUUCUGAAUGAUAGCUCCAUUUCAUUUUUUGUACGCCACAAACGAGAUUUGUAGUCAAUUGGAUAGAUAUGUUUAGGGCUAUGUUUAAUUGUACCCAUCCAUUCGUCAUUUCUUUCUUUUUCAAAUACCUAAAAAUGGAGAAAUGUAGAUUCGUACGGUAGGUUUGGGAGGUUAGGGAUGUUUCAUACGUGGCUGCCAAUUUUUGAAAAUAGGGGAUAUUAAUGAUAAAUUAUACAUUUCAAAGUGUAUAAAGUAAAAAAAUUAUUAACCUAUAAUAAAUCUAUGACUAUAAUGACAAUAUUAAACUGCAAUUCUAUACUACAAUUUAUAAUUUAAAAAAAAAUUAGUGGUAUUAAUGUAUAUAAUAUUGAUGUACAAAUCAUUUUUAAGACAAAUGAUUUAGUGGUAUUGUCAUUAUUUUAUAUUUAUGUUUUCUUGACAUAAAAAUAUUAGAUUGUAACUACAUUACAACUAUGGUCCCACUUAUAUUAUAUUUACUUUAAUUAUUUUUUUUCUUGGCUUUCGUCUAAUUUUAAAUAAUAAAUCCGGUUGUGUUGUUUUAUUAAUUAUGUGCAUAGCAUUUAUUUUAUUAACUAAAUUGUGUUAAUUGUUCAGAACGCAAGCAGAUCAUGAAGUCGGUUAAUUCUAAAAAGACUAGAAAAUUAAAUACUUUUUACUUAGAAAAUAGACAACACGUUAAUUUGUCUGCUACAUCAAUCCAACAAUCUUCAACCGUUACUAAUGUUCUUUCUUCAAUUAACAACGGUAUGUUUAUCAUUUACCAUUUUUUAAUUUUAAUUUUAUUUAUUUUUUAAGUUCUUUGUAUAUUUUUUAAUAACAUAAAAAUAUGUACUAUUCUAACACCAACCCGUAUUAACAUGACAAGAUAAAGCAAAUAUAUUAUCUACUUCGUUGUACGUUGAAUCUUCAUCAUCUGGAAUAUUUUUUAACAAAGGUUACAAAGAUACAUUUAUUUCUUCACUAUUAUUAAUAUUCUAUAUCGAUACAAUUAUCUACCUAUUGUUAACUUUAUAUCAUAUGCUUAUAUUUCUUAUGCAGAAAAAAACAACCAUAUGUACUACUUGCAAGCAAAAGAGAAUAGAAGACGGAGAAAAUUAUAUUUGGAUAAUAAGCGAUUGAAGGCAACAAAUAUAAGAUCCAGCAUUAUAAAUCCAUCAACUCCACAUGUCUUAAAAAACAUGGAUAGCUGUAAUUUUCUUAUUAAAAUCAACCACGUUUUACACUUCUUUUAACUGAAAAAUACAAUACAUAAAUUCUCAUCUUUUUAUGUUAUUACCCUAUAAUCUUAUAUAAUUUUACCUUCUUAUUUUGUUUUUUACGUCAUGUCUUCAAUUUUAAUAAUAUAUUUUUUUGCAGAUCAAUUUAAGAGCGUUGGUCUUCAAAAUGAAAAUGUUCAUUCAUAUAGAUCUCGAGGAAAUGAAAAUACGCCGUUACAAUUUUCUCCUUCAUACAUAAAUGUUAGAACUCCGUUAUCUAACAUUACAAAUGGUAAUAAUUUUAUUUUUAAUUUUACUAUGAUGCAUUCUCUAAUAAAUUUAUAAUCUUUUUUUUAAUAUACUAUUAUUUGUUUCAGCUAACAUUGGUUUCAAUAACUACCCCACUUCAACGUUAGCAAAUAAAAGUAACUACUCUGUGCUUUCAAAAGAUAUGACAUCCAGAACUGCAUCUACAAUAUGUCAAUCUUCAUCAUCGAUCAUGUUAAAUCCAGGAUGUCAUAAAUUAAAAAGGAAAUCGAAACAUUUAUCUCCUAUUCCAUUAAUUGACCUAACAGCAGAUAUAGAAAAUAUACAUGAGGUCGUAUCUGAAAACUUAAUCGUUGGUAUUUCCAAAGGUAAACAAAAAUAUAUCCAUUUUUAUUAUUUUUUACAAAUCAAUUCCUAUAUGGUAUAUAUUUAUAAAGUUACUAUUAUAUUAAUAACACUUAAUUUUUUUACAGAAUAUUUGGAUCAUGGUGAUCAGAUUGUUGUAUGCCAAACAUGUCGUGCAAAGUUAUGGACAAAUGAAUCCAUUAGAGGCAAACAAAAAAAGAGCACCAAUUUUUCAUUAUGUUGUGGUUAUGGCAAGGUUCAACUACCAGAUUUAAAAAAGGCACCACCAACUUAUGAAAGAAUGUUUCAAUCAAACGAUUGUAAAAGCAAAAACUUCAGGAAAAAUAUACGACGUUACAAUUCAAUGUUUUCUUUUACAUCGAUGGGUGGUAAGAUUGAUUCUUCAAUCAAUAGAGGAAAUGCUCCAUACAUUUUCAGACUUGGUGGCCAAAAUUAUCAUAGUAUUGGAAGUCUUUUACCAGCAAAAGGAUUGCAACCAAAAUUCUCUCAGUUAUACAUUUAUGAUACUGAUAAUGAAAAUUCAAAUAGGCAGAGAUGUUUUCGGUAAUUUUCAAUUUUCUUAUUCAUACUCUAUUUUAAUAUAUAUAUAUAUAUAUAUAUAUACCUAUAUUGCUGAUGUUAUUUAUAUUUUCCAUUCAUAUAGUGGGGAAAACCAACAAUCUACAUCAUUUGAUAAUGAUAUUAUUGAAGAAUUGAAGGUCAUGCUAGAUUCAAAUAAUGUUUUGGUUAGCUCUUAUAGAAUGGUAAGAGAUGCUUUUCAGAAAAAUCCUCACGUUGAUAUGAAGUUAAGAAUUAUCGGGAAAAGGAAUCGUGAUGGAAGAACAUAUAACCUACCAACUGCUUCUGAGGUUGCAGCUUUAAUUGUAGGUGACAUUUCAGAUUCGAUUGAAAAUAGAGAUAUCGUUGUUCAAACAAAAUCGGGUUUUCUACAACGUAUCAGUGAAUUGCAUCCUUCUUACCUUCCUCUCCAAUAUCCACUACUAUUUCCAUAUGGGGAUGAUGGUUAUAGUGUUGACAUUCUUCAUAGAGGAAUUACAGAUACAACCAACAGCAAGCGGGCGACAUGUACAAUGAGAGAAUUUUUCGCUUUUAGAAUUCAAGACAGGGAUCAUUCGUUCUCACUGAUUCUUAAUUCAAAAAGGUUGUUUCAACAAUUUCUGGUAGAUGCGUAUACUAUGAUUGAAAGUGAGAGAUUGCAUUACAUACGCAGACAACAACAUGUUCUUAGAUGCGAGUCUUAUGAGAAUUUACGUAAGCAAAAAGCUCAAGGAGCUACAAGUAUCUCCAACGUCGGACAACGUGUGAUAUUACCUUCAUCAUUUACUGGUGGUGCACGCUAUAUGCUUCAAAACUAUUUGGAUGCCAUGUCGUUAUGUAAAUGGUAUGGAUAUCCUGAUUUCUUCAUAACCUUUACGUGUAAUCCCAAAUGGCCAGAGGUGAAAAGGUUUCUUAAGGAUACUUCACUUCAACCAGAAGACAGACCUGAUAUACUAUGUAGGUUGUUCAAGAUCAAGCUUGAUGCAUUUAUUAAAGACUUAAGGAAGAAUCAUAUCUUCGGCAUAGUUCAAGCAGGUAUUUAAAAUUAACUUAUUUCAUAAUUCAUGAGAUUAAAUGCUUUUUAUUUCAUAUUUUUAACAUUUUGCUUAUGGUCUAACCAUAUUGUUUUGUGCAAAAUAUUUUGCAGUUGUUUAUACAAUUGAAUUUCAAAAAAGAGGUUUGCCACAUAGUCAUAUAUGUCUAUUCAUGCAUUCUGACUACAAGCUACCCACUGUUGAAUUAAUCGAUCCCAUAAUAUCCGCCGAAAUACCAAACAAAGAUGAAGAUCCUGAAUUGUAUUCACUUGUGAAUGAGUUCAUGAUUCAUGGUCCAUGUGGAGCUGAAAAUAUCAAUUGCCCAUGCAUGGUGGACAAAAAGUGCUCUAAAAACUUUCCAAAGCAAUUCUGCAAUCAUACAUCUGUUGAUCAGGAUGGUUUUCCCUUAUAUAGGAGAAGAAACAAUGGUCAUUUUGUUGAAAAAUCAGGUGUCAAGUUGGAUAAUAGAAAUGUUGUCCCCUACAACAAAUAUCUAUUGAAAAGAUAUCAGACACAUAUUAAUGUUGAAUGGUGCAAUCAGGGAUCGUCUAUAAAGUAUUUAUUCAAAUACAUAAACAAAGGACCAGAUAGAGCUACAAUUGCCGUUGUACGAAGCAACAAUGAUUGUGAUAAUCAUGAUGUGGUCGAUGAAAUAAAUGAAUAUUACGAUUGUAGAUAUUUAUCUGCAUGUGAAGCAUCAUGGCGAAUUUUUACAUAUGAUGUUCAUUACAGAUAUCCUUCUGUGGUUAGACUACCUUUUCAUCUUCCUGGUCAACAACAGAUUGUAUAUGGGGAAGACGAUGAUAUUGAUGAUGUUUUGGACAAACCUUCUGUUGCUGCUUCAAUGUUCACAGCUUGGAUGGAGUGUAAUGUAAUUUCAAGUGAUGCACGAAAACUUACGUAUGUUGAGUUUCCUACAAAGUUUGUUUGGAAUCGUAAGGAUAGGUUUUGGAAGCCUAGGGAAGUAGGAAAGUGCAUUGGUAGAAUUCAUUCGGUUUCACCUAAUCUUGAGGAAGCUUAUUUCUUAAGGAUUCUUUUAAAUAAGGUGAAAGGUCCGAGAUCAUUUGAAGAGAUUCGCACAGUAAAUGGUGAAGAAUAUUUGUCUUUUAGAGAUGCUUGUUAUGCUCUUGGGCUUUUGGAUGAUGACAAAGAAUACAUCGAUGCAAUUAAAGAAGCAAGUCAUUCUGGAUCUGGUUUUUAUCUACGAUUUUUAUUUGCCACAUUGUUAAUGUGUAACAGUAUGUCUAAACCAGAAGUUGUUUGGGAAAAUACAUGGGAAUAUUUGGCGGAUGGAAUUCUUUAUAAUCAACGACAGAGAUUAAAGUUAUCAGGUAUUAAAAUAUUAUUAUUAUUAUUUAUUUAAAAAUUAAAUUAUUUAUUUUCUAACAUGCAUUUGAUAAAUUUUUAAUUAUAAGUAAAUAUUGGUAAUAAUAUAUGUAAUUAAUCUGAUAUUUUGUCCUCCAGGCUUAACUCUUAGUGAAGAUCGGCUUAUGAACUUAACUCUAUACGAGAUAGAACAGAUUUUACUUCGUAACAACAACACUCUCAAAAAUUAUAAAAACAUGCCUUACCCGGACGUUGAUUAUGUUUCUUCUUCAAACAAUCGACUUAUCACCGAGGAGCUAGAUUAUGACAUUUCCAUUAUAAAGACUGAGUUUGACCGUAUGUUUCUUGCAUUAACAAAUGAGCAACGUGACAUUUUCCUUGAUAUCAUGGGUGCAGUUAAAAAAAAUAAAGGAGGUGUCUUCUUUGUUUAUGGUUAUGGUGGAACAGGUAAAACUUUUUUAUGGAAGACAAUAUCUGCAGCAAUUAGAUGUGAUGGUCAUAUCGUUUUAAAUGUUGCUUCAAGUGGAAUUGCUUCAUUAUUAUUGCCCGGAGGUAGAACAGCCCACUCUCGAUUUAUAAUUCCAUUUGAACUUACUGAGGAUUCUGUAUGUAACAACAACACUCUCAAAAAUUUUAAAAACAUGCCUUACCCGGACGUUGAUUAUGUUUCUUCUUCAAACAAUCGACUUAUCACCGAGGAGCUAGAUUAUGACAUUUCCAUUAUAAAGACUGAGUUUGACCGUAUGUUUCUUGCAUUAACAAAUGAGCAACGUGACAUUUUCCUUGAUAUCAUGGGUGCAGUUAAAAAAAAUAAAGGAGGUGUCUUCUUUGUUUAUGGUUAUGGUGGAACAGGUAAAACUUUUUUAUGGAAGACAAUAUCUGCAGCAAUUAGAUGUGAUGGUCAUAUCGUUUUAAAUGUUGCUUCAAGUGGAAUUGCUUCAUUAUUAUUGCCCGGAGGUAGAACAGCCCACUCUCGAUUUAUAAUUCCAUUUGAACUUACUGAGGAUUCUGUAUGUAAAAUAAAUCGAAAUAGUGAGCUCGCUAGCUUAUUGAGAAAAACAUCUUUGAUAAUUUGGGAUGAAGCACCUAUGGUCCAUAAGCAUGCAUUUGAAGCUUUAGAUCGAAGUUUAAAAGAUGUAUUGAGGUCUGAAAAUUCUACCGAGUCGAAUAUUCCAUUUGGAGGGAAAGUUAUUGUUUUUGGAGGAGAUUUCAGACAAAUUUUGCCUGUUAUUCCGGGUGGCAGCAGACAAAACAUUGUUAACGCUUCUUUAAGUUCUUCAUAUUUAUGGCAACAUUGCAAAAUCCAUAAGUUAACAAAAAACAUGAGGCUAACGGUUGGAAGGGAUCAGUCUACUGUAGAAAAAAUAAAAGAUUUUGCAGAAUGGCUAUUGGAUAUAGGAGAAGGAAAACUUGGUGGUCAGAAUGACGGUGAAACGGUUAUUGAUAUUCCAGAUGAUAUUCUCAUUAGUGAUCCAAAGGAUCCUAUAGGUUCAUUAAUUGAGUUUGUAUAUCCUUCGAUUUUGGAUAAUUACAACGAUACAAGUUAUUUUCAAGAAAGAGCAAUACUAGCUCCAAAGAAUGAAGUGGUUCAGGAAAUAAAUGACCGUUUGCUAUUGAAGUUUCCAGGAGAUGAGGUUGAAUAUUUAAGUUCAGAUAGUAUAUGCCAAUCUGAAUUUGUCCAUGAUCAGUUUGAUGCAGAUUUAUACUCACCUGAUGUUUUAAAUGGUCUCAAAGUUUCGGGUCUACCAAAUCAUAAGUUAGUUUUAAAAAUCGGUGUUCCGGUUAUGUUACUAAGAAAUAUUGAUCAAAAAAAUGGCUUAUGUAAUGGAACAAGACUCCAAGUGAUAUCAUUGGGCAAACGUGUUAUCGAGGCACGUAUCUUAUCUGGAACUAAUAUUGGAAAUCGGACUUUUAUUCCAAGAAUGUCUUUAACGCCAUCAGAAAAAAAAAAUUCCAUUCAAAUUCAAAAGAAGACAAUUUCCAUUGGCCGUAUGUUUUGCUAUGACUAUUAAUAAGAGUCAAGGACAAUCGUUAUCCAAGGUUGGCUUGUACCUCAAAGAUCCUGUUUUUUCACAUGGGCAAUUAUAUGUUGCCUUAUCUAGAGUUCAAAGCAGAGAGGGAUUAAAAUUGUUAAUUUUAGAUAAGGAUGGUAACCUAACCAAUAAAACUUCCAAUGUUGUUUAUAAGGAAGUUUUUGGUAAUUUAUAAUCAAUUAUUUUGUAUCAUCUUUUAUUUAUUUUUAGUAUUAAUUAAUUAAAUUAUAUAACUUGAUAAAAUUAUAUUAAUAUAUUCUAUUUGAUUUAUUCAUGUUAAUUAACUUAUAAUAUUUCAUUGUUUUUCCUUUAUUCAUGUUAAUUACAUUACUUUAAAUAAAUUUUUAUAAUUAAAAAUUCAUUAUUGUUUAAAAUAUAUAAAUUUUAAAUACUUACAAAUGCCAAUCUUAAUAAAAUAAAUAUACUAUUAUUAUGUAUUUAUCUUCUUUUUUUUCUUAACUAUGGUAUCUUCGUUUAUUAUGUAAUCAAAAUUAUGAUUCUAUUUAAAUCAAUCAACCGUGGGUCCCACGGGUUUUACACCUAGUAAUCUCAUAUGGUUAUGUAAUAUUUUCAAUUAUACAUUUAACACAUAUUCUAGAUAACAAGCAAUUAAUUCACAUAUAAAAUAUACUAUUAGCAUAACAUUAUAAUAACCAUCUUAUAGCGUAAAUUUAAUCUUUUAGUAUUUAAUACUUAUAUUAAAUCAUGCUCAUUGAAGUAACUAUGCACUCACCUGAUUGAUGUAGAAGACUCGUAGGAAAUUUAGAUCAUUUUCUAACACUUCAACUUUCCCUUUUAAAAUGACAGGUUUUCUAGCGAAAACUUAGAAAAUCUAUGGGCAUAACUUCAUCACUGAAUCUUUCUUCUGAAAGAUUCUUCCAGCUCUUUAGCGCUCAACUCACGAAGGAACGACAUGCUCGAGGGUAAGAAGAUAAAGACUCUUAAAAAAGACUUGGGUGCAAUAAAUAUGAGAGCCUAAAGCCUCAUAUUUAUAGUAAACGAAUUUUCAAAAAGUACCCUUAUAAUUACUUAAACGACUAAACGACCAUUAAUAAUACUAUUUUAACUAGAUUUAAUGAUAUUUGUAUUAAACUAAUGUUGAAAGUAUUCAAUAUUAUUUUUAUAUCGGCCGCAUCGUCGAUACCUUUCUAAUGACCUAAAAAUGUGUGUGUGUGUGUGUGUAUAUAUAUAUAUAUAUGAUUUAUACUUUAUUUUACUGUAUAACUACUCUAUUAUAAAUCAUAACUUCUUCAUACUAACUCUAUUCUUGACGUUAUAUCCCCACUUUUGUAUCGACGAGUACUACAACUUUCAUUUUGACGCCGUUGGUUGAUUCUCAUUCUGUUUUAAAUUUACAAUUUUGUACAGGUUACACUACGAAAAAGCUGCAUAUCAAGCUUAGGGACAAAGUUUCCUUUGUAUCUUUCGCAUACGAGCUCCGUUUUCAACGUUCUUUAUAUUUUCGAUUUUUUAAUUAUGAUUACUAAGAAUUUCAUUUAGAUCACUUACGCUAAUAAGAAACCUAUCUCUGAUUCAUAUUUUAUGACACACGUUGUCGUGUAGGACAGAACUCAAAUCUUUGAAAAAAUUAUAAUUUUCUCAUACAAAGUUAGAUUUAAAUGUUCUAUAUAUCCACGUGCUCGUGGUUACAUUCUCUAUGACUUUUGAUUAUAUUAUUUAUCCAAAAUAAUCUUUUAUUUUUAAUGUUAUUUUAUCGUUUAAUGAUAAUUUUUAUAUUAAGAUUUUCUGCAAAUAUUAUAUAAUCUAAUAUUUGUUUACAUAUUGUGUAUAUAUUAAUUAUUUAUUAGCUUGUAACAUGUACGAAGAACAAUUUCCCUAUUCAAGGAUUUUAAGUGUUCGAUAAAAUAUAUAAUUAUUAUUAUACCUUAAACAUCUAGCCAAAUUUGCAGGUGUUAUACAUUGGCCCGUUCCCUAAUCCAAUUAUAAUAAGGACUCUAAUCAGAAUGGUAAUGUAACUACACGUCACUAAAUCAAUCUUUAACUUUAUAUUAUGCAAUACUUAAUCUUGUAAUUAAUCUCAAUAGUCAUGACAAUUAACUAAUGCACAUGUACAUUAAAGUUCAUUUCUUUAUUAACAUAAUCCUAAGACUUUGUCUAUCUCUAGUCAUAUUUGUCGAUGGUCAUUAACAACUAUGAUUCAAGCAUACACAAUUAGAUUGGUCCUCUAAAUCAUGCAAACUCAACAAUAGGCAACAAAGAUGUAAACUUUUAUACAUAUAGAUCUUUGAUAAAGCAAACAUAAUAAAUUUGACAACUUCCAAGUAAGGAGUUGCCUCAAUACUUGUUUUCACAUAGUACUAUCUCAACCGAUCCCAUUAUGUUAUUUACGAGUUAAUGUUUUAGGUUCCUCUAUGACAUUUUAACAGUCUGCCGACCUAAUUCCAUAACAUUAACUCUUAUUGAUUAAUGUUUCAUUUAAGCGACCAUGUUACGUCGAAUUCCUCACAUGACCAUUUCUCCUUAUCCAAAAAUGACAAAGUUCAUGAACUUAACUGUUUCAUGCCCCUUUCAGGUUUCGACUUUGUCGAGUAACAAAAGUUUUCACAUUAUCGCUAACAUAAGUAUUUUUAAGAAAAUCUAAGAAUUAUCUCAAAUCGAAAUCUUUACCUAGUCAUGAUAAUGAGUCUACGAAAACAUUCACUUUUGACUAGUCUUCUACAUAAGUGAUGCCUAGAAAGACAUACUUUAUUACUUGGUUGAAUCCGAUCCAUAACAUACUGUGGUUCUACAUAAUUCUGGGACACUUGACGAUAAUAUCUAACAUAAGAUCGUUCCAUUUACCCAUAGGUAUAGGUAAAGGUCUCGAGUUCGCUCACAAUAUUUGAUGUCGUUCUCACUUUCCAACCAAAACAUAUAUUCUAUCAUCGACAUAACAACAAUCCAAGCAAAUAACUCUUCUCCUAGCUUCUUGUGCUGCAACUCUCUUGGAUCUUGACAUCGAAUCCAAAGUCGAGUUACCUUGCAUACUUUUGCCUUAAGGGUUGGUUUUCUCUCACUUGGCAACUACUUUUGGUUAACAUUUUAUGGUUAGGAGUAAUACACAAUGUAUGUACAUUUCUCAAUUAUAUAUAUAUAUAAAGUUCAAAGGACCUUAGGAAUAGUACCUUUUGUGGCUUUAGGUUUUUGCCACUAAUCUUUGGUGAAUUUGACACUUUUCAUCCUUGAAGUAAAAACUUUUACAUUUUUGUGCUUUGAUUAAGUUUUUUUGCCUCUAGGUUUUUGCCACAAAUCUUUAGCAACUUUGACACUUUCGUCCCUGCAGUAAAAACUUUUACAUUUUGACGUUUUUACCACAAAUUUUUAGUGACUUUGACACUUUUCGUUCUUAUGGUCAAAACUUUUACAUUUUGACAUAAAAAACAUAAAACACCACAUUUAGACUUUUGCCACCGUAUUUUCCCAACUUUGACAACUUUCAAACUAUUGCAACAACAUUUUUGGAUUUUCUCCACCAAUGUCCUUUCUUUUGGUUGUUGUACACUUUUGACAUCUAAUUUUAGAGGUUGUCAACUUUCUCCCCUAUUUGUGGCGAUUUACAUUUUCAGCACAUAUCUUUUAAAGUUUGUCGAGUUUUCUCAUAUUAUCUCAAUAGCGACAUAGCCGCGGGUCCUUUACUAGUUUAAAAUAAAAUUUAAGAAGAUAACACUCGUUUUCCAUAAAAAAAACAAAUGUUCUGUUUAUUUGGAUAUGCAACAAAAUAUAGAUAAUUUCCAGUUGGAAAGUUUGUUAGUGUAAAAAGAUAAGAAAAAAACAUUUUAUACCAAUUUUAUGUCCAAACUCUAACAAAAUCUUGAAUACUGGAUGGGCAUGCAAGACAUUUGAGUUUUAAAAACACUUUUAAGAUUAUUUAUAUAGCAUUAAUGACCAGUAUUCUCUUGGGCAAUAUGUACACUACAAAUAAGGCAAUUAAUUAAUAUUUUUAAAGAAAUGAGACUAUUGGUUAUUGUUUGUGACCAAGAUUAUUCUAUUUUUAGCAUAACGAGACUAUUGGUUAUUGAUUGUGACCAAGAUUAUUGUGACUAUCAGCACGACCCAACAACCAAAAUCAAUGCGUAAUGAUAAUUAACACAGAAAAUGAGAAAAUAAUGUAACUUUAGUUUCAAAUCUUGACAAAAGAAAAAUAAAAAUUCGGAAUUUAUGUGGGGCACCCUAAAUUGAAUGAAGAAAGUUGUUAUGGGACUUAUGAUGUUUGGCAUACUUACUUUGAUGUUUUCGAUCCUUGUAGGCCAAAAUAUUAAAAGUAAGUCUCCAAAUUAUGUGAUUUGAUUUUCUUGAAAUUGCAAUAAUCAUUUUGAACAACCCAACACCCCCACUUAAUCUCCCAAGUUACAUAACCUUUUUUCAACUUUGAAACAACGAUGAAGUAGAAACAAUACAAAACAUUUGAUUAGUAAUAAACCCCCGUCAUAUAUAUUUUGAAGGUCCCUUUAGUUCGAAUUUUCUUUAAGCUUUUGGAAGUGUGUAAGGAGAAUUUGACCAUGUAAUAUAGUAAAAAUUAUAAAUUUUAAAGAGAAGAAGCCUUUCUUUACAAAUUUGCUUAUGUUUUCAACUAGCUAAACAAAAAUAUAGGUUUGUUAGAACUUCAAAUGUACAAUCACUAAGGAGGUGUUUAGAUUGAGUUAGAAAAUAACUUAUCCGCUUAUUAGUUUUUUAAAAACUCAAUAAGUUUAAAAAUGUAUGGCAAACGUAAAAGUGUUUUAAGAUGUUUUAAAAAAAAUCAAUAUCUCCAAAAAUACAAUAUUUGACUCUAAUAAGUUACUCUUUUGAUAGAAAACGUUUCCGACAAAAGAACAGAUAACUAAAAAGAGAAAGAGAAAAGAUUUAAGUGUAUUCCGGAAGCUUUAAUAAACUAUUGCAGUGGAAAAGACAAUACUGACAAAACAUAAGGGUAGGAUGCAUAUAGAUUACGCGAUUACAUACAAAUAUUACAAGGGCACCAGUCAAAAGACCGUAAAACUCAUAGACAUAUACAAUAAUAUAUGUCUUUUAAUUUCAUACAAAGUAGUGCUCUCAUAUUUAUUUAUUCUAAUAUAUAUAUGCUUUUAUUCUGCGCAAGAUGCAUCCACAUCUCGACCUCACUGCACCCUGCAAAAAUCACCAUAUACCAAGUCACAUCAAUACAACUAACGUGUUUUCAUGCAAUAUUUAAACAAGUAGACGUAUACUUAAAUCUGAAACUGAUUAAAAAAAAAUAUAAGCACAUAUUUGCACAUACUUGGAGCAAUCAGUGUUAGGACUGAUCUGGUAAGGGAUGUUGACACCACACUUGCCGGGAAGGCCAGCUGCAUUGGCGGCUUUGAUGCCAGAAACAGAUUUGGAAGCAUUCUUUAAGCAGUUACAAGCCGUCUUACGAUCAGGGGUUGAUUUUGCAGCGCUAUUAAGUGACCUAACCCCAUUGCAACAUGCCGGUGGCACAGCACCACCAUUUCUUAGGUAGUUAAGACAUCCAGCUAAGUUGGCUGUCACCUGACCACAGGAAAUAGCAGCCUCGGUGUAGGGUGUCGCCACCACCAUGCAAGUCAACACUACACAUAAGAUCAUCAUUGCCAUUCUUGCCAUUUUUCGAGUAUACAAGCACUAAAGUCGUAGAAAAGUUAUGUGUGAUU
Molecule: long non-coding RNA, 82654 nt
Filed under: Lactuca sativa (garden lettuce)
Lineage: Eukaryota; Viridiplantae; Streptophyta; Magnoliopsida; Asterales; Asteraceae
Description: long non-coding RNA (LSAT_LNC000434)
Source: RNAcentral